RNAcentral lists this long non-coding RNA (47480 nucleotides) under Gossypium raimondii (Peruvian cotton). RNAcentral describes it as "long non-coding RNA (GRAI_LNC000716)". Lineage: Eukaryota; Viridiplantae; Streptophyta; Magnoliopsida; Malvales; Malvaceae. The record is from RNAcentral.
AUGGCCACUGAUGUCCUUUCAAAAGGGCACUUAACCACUAUUUUUUCACCUUUAGGAGAUCAAUGGAGAAAAAUGAAGAGAGUUAUGGUCAGCAAGAUGCUUUCACUGGAAAGACAUCGAUGGCUUCACGAGAAAAGAGUUGAAGAAGCUGAUGACCACGUGCGUUACGUACUGGACCAAUGCAAAAAUGGUGAUGAAGGCGUCCUUGUAGACUUAAGACUAGUUGCCCAACACUAUUGUUGCAAUGUGACAUGGAAGUUGAUCUUUAAUAAAAGAUAGUUGGGAGAAGGGAAAUCAGAUGGUGGACCUGGUUUUGAGGAAGAAGAAUAUGUCGACGCCAUUUUCGCUUUAGUCAUUCAUCUUUAUUCCUUUUGUAUAUCCGAUUACUUGCCAUUUUUGAAAGGCCUCGACCUGGAGAGGCAUGAGAAAAUCGUGGAGGACACAACUAGUGUUCUAGAGAAAUAUAACAGUCCCAUUAUUGAAGGCAGGAUUCAACAAUAGAGAGUUGGCAAGAAACUGUUGAGAGUUGGCCUGCAAUGCAACAUGAAACCAGCAGCAUGUAGCCAUCGAGUUUAGCAACAGCAAAGGAAUCUGAACUGCAGCAUUGGAGCUUGACCAAAUGCAACAGUAGCUUAGUUCAUUUUGUUUCAAUGUAAACUUGUUUAGUUACAAAAUUUUGUAAGAAAGUUAGUAGGAUUAGUCUUUGAUUAGUCCUUGAUGUAAUGACUGAUUGGUCAGCUACUUUUGUGUAUGAUUUUAGUUAUAAGCUAGUCAUGUAUUAGUGGGGGCAGUUAAGCCAUUAGGUAACUGUCAAGCUGAUAAAUUGUAAAUGCAAUAUAUUUCAAAAUUUGAAUGAAAAAUACAAGUUGUUCAGUUACAAUUUUUGAGUGUUCAAACUUUCUUGCUAUUUUUCUUUUCUUUUGCUUCGAUUUCUAUUGGUUUCUGCUUUGCAAAUUUGUUUUACUACUGCCAAAGUUCCUGUGACUCACCUAAACAGGAUAAUGGCCUGUGACUCACCUAAACAGGGAUGGGAGAAGCUGAAGAAGGAAUUCAUUGGGUCUGACAAAACGAGGCAGCAUCAAGUGAUCAAUCUCAGGAGAGAUUUUGAAAUUUUGAAGAUGAAGGAGUCUGAGACCAUUAAACAGUACUUAGACAGGAUAAUGGCCACUGUAAAUAGCAUAAGGCUUCUUGGAGUGGACUUUAGUGAGAGCAGAGUUGUUGAAAAGGUCAUCACAACUCUCCUUGAGAAAUUUGAGUCAAAAAUCUCUUCACUUGAGGACUCGAGGGAUUUAUCAGCCAUCUCAUUAUCUGAGCUGAUAAACUCCCUGUAUGCACUUGAGCAAAGGAAAGCAAAUAGACAGGAAGAACAUCCUAAAGCUACUUUCUAGGCAAAAGCCAAUGAAGGCUCAAGUCCGAAUUUGAAAGGCAAGAAGCCUUGGCACAACAGAAGAGACAAACCAAGAAGAGAUGAAGGAAAAAGGAUGUUUCCUCCAUGCACUCAUUGCAAGAAGACAACACAUUCAGAGAGGUAUUGCUGGUAUAGGCUUGACAUUCAAUGCAGGAAAUGUAAACAGUUUGGUCAUGUGGAGAAAGUGUGCAAAGGAAAGGGAAAGGGAAAGGAGGCUGCUUAGCAACAAGCUCGACCUGUUGAAGACCUUCAAGCUCAGGAGGAGCAUGUGUUCACAACCUCCUGUUUUGUCAGCACAACAAAGCCCAGAAGUGAUUGGCUAGUGGACAAUGGCUGCUCACACCAUAUGGCAGCUGAUGAAAGGUUGUUUAAGGACCUAGACAGAAACUUUACCUCAAAUAUCAAAAUUGGAGAUGGAAACUUGAUUGAAGCCAAAAGAAAAGGCAAUGUGUUGGUAAGCACUGGUUCAGGUAACAAAUUGAUUACUGAUGUGCUCUUUGUGCCUGAUAUAGACCAAAAUUUGCUUAGUGUGGGCCAAUUAGUGGAAAAAGGUUGUACCUUAGUCUUUAAAAAUGGUUGUUCCAUUGUUCAAGACUCACUUGGUCAAGAGCUUGUUAUAGUAGCUAUGACUGAUAGGUGCUUCAUGUUGGAUGUGAGCCAAGUAGAAAGAAAGGCUUACACCAGUCUUGCUAAUAGCACUGAUCUCUGGCAUAGGAGAUUAGGCCAUGUUAAUUUCAAGUCCCUUGAUCUAUUGCAUAGGCUAAAUUUGGUUGAUGACAUGUCUAAAAUUGAAGCUAGUGGCACUGUUUGUGAGGUUUGCCAGCUUGGUAAGCAGGCUAGAUUGCCUUUUCCAGUUGAUAGUGCUUGGAGAGCUCAAGAGAGGCUUGAAUUGGUGCAUUUUGAUGUUUGUGGUCCUAUGAAAAUUCCUUCAAUCAGUGACAACAAGUACCUUGUCUUGUUUAUAGAUGACUUGACAAGGUUUUGUUGGGUUUAUUUUUUGAGGCAGAAGUCAGAUGUGUUUGAGACAUUCUACAGGUUUAAAGCACUUGUUGAAAACCAAUCUGGUUGCAAAAUUAGAGCCUUAAGUUCUGAUAAUGGAUCUGAAUAUGUGUCUGAUAUAUUUCAGAAGUUGUGUGAAAGUGCUGGGAUUCAUCAUCAACUCACUACUGUAUAUACUCCUCAAUAGAAUGGAGUAUGUGAGAGGAAGAAUAGAACUGUGUUUGAUAUGUCCAGAUGUAUGUUAUUGCAGAGCAAGCUUCCAAACCAAUUUUGGGCUGAGGCAGUCAACACCUCAGUAUAUCUGUUUAACAGGUUGCCAACUAGAGCAGUCAAAAACAAAACUCCUUUUGAGGCUUGGCAUGGAGCCAAACCAGUGGUAACACACUUGAAAGUAUUUGGUUGUGUGUGCUAUACUCAUGUUCCAGUGGAAAAAAGUACCAAGCUUGAAAGUAGAGCUGUUCCAGGAAUUUUUGUUGGCUAUAGCAGUAAUAAGAAGGGCUAUAGGGUGUUUGAUCCAUCAACAAAGAAGUUAUUGGUCAGCAGAGAUGUGCAGUUUGAUGAAGAGAGGGUAUGGAGCAGGAAUGGUGUUGAAGCAGGCUUGCUUGAAGAGAAUCAGUUGGACUUGGUCACUGAACCUACAGAAGAAGGAUCAAAUGUUGAUGCUGUUGAUGAUGCACCAGUGAGAGGCACUAGAACCUUGGCUGACAUUUACCAAAGAAGCAAUGUUGCGGUAGUUGAGCCUACUAACUAUGAAGAGGCUGCCAAGGAUAAGAACUGAAAGAAGGCUAUGGAAGCAGAAUUGGAGAUGAUCAACAAGAAUCAGACUUGGGAAUUGGUGAACAGGCCAGACCACAAGAAAGUCAUAGGUGUUAAGUGGUUGUUUAGAGCCAAAUACAAUGUUGAUGGCUCAUUGAACAAGCACAAGGCUAGGCUUGUGGUGAAAGGCUACAGUCAGUAGUAUGAAGUUGAUUUCGUGGAGACAUUUGCUCCAGUAGCAAGAUUGGAAACAAUCAAGCUUCUGUUUGCUUUAGCUGCUCAGAAACAGUAGAAGGUUCAUCAAUUAGAUGUAAAAUCAGCUUUUCUGAAUGGUUUUCUCAAGGGGGAGAUUUUCAUUGAGCAACCAGAGGGAUUUAAAGUUGCUGGAAAGGAAGAUAAGGUGUAUAGGCAGAGAAAUGCUCUUUAUGGCCUGAAGCAGGCACCAAGGGCCUGGUAUGACAGGAUUGACACCUACCUGUCUAGGCUCAGGUUUGAAAGUUUUAGGGAAAUCUUAAAAAUACCUAGAAACAAGGCACACGCGGCCAUGUGUAACACCCUAGAACGUGUGACUUUCGAAGUCGGGACACACGGUCAUGUCCCAACUUGUGUCUCUACUCAUGUAACUCACUGAUUUGAGACACACGACCAUGUAACUCACUAACUUGGGUCACAUGGUCGUGUCGCAGGCCGUGUGUCAGCUCGUAUGGGAACUACACUUAUACUAUUUUACAACUUGUUUAGAUUACACACCCUUAUGUGUUGCUUGUGUGUGUCACACGGCCGUGUGACAGACCGUGUCCUAGGCCGUGUGCACCUAUAUGUACCUUAAAACUCAAGUUUACCAAGUUGUGAUUACUUGGACACUAAGCAACAUAAAUACUCGCCAAUUAACCUAUCCAAAACACAUUAAAACUACUCAAAAUAUGCCAACUAAAUCAUCUAAUAUACCUAACAAAUGUACCAUUGUUGGUACCACAUUUUAUAUGUUCAAACAAAUCAACAAAGCAUCAACCAUUUAAAACUUCUAUUCAUACCAAAAUUUGCUAUAAUUGAACUAAAUUUUAGCUUUUUAGGUUACAAAAUUUUAAGCUAAACACAUACCAAACAUUAGGCUAAGCUAUCAUACCAGCAUUGCCUCAACUAUAACCAUAUAUACAAUUAUCCAUCAUUUCACUAAGAAACCAAAAUAUCACCACAUCAUAAACAACAUCAACAAAAGACCCCUAAGUAUAUGUCGUUACAAAAUAAAACAUCACUACACUUAAGCUCGGGAUUGUUGUUGGAUUGAGUUGACAAUAAGUUGAAGGUACCUAACCGUUAACCUGUACAUGAAAAUCAAAACCACACGCUAAGUAUAACUCAGUAGUAUUUCUAUAAUCCAAACAACUUAAACUUAAUAUGAGUAAUUAAAAUGUAUGAAUGCACAAGUAAUGCCAUGAAGAUAUAUUUCAAUUCAAUAAUAUAAAAUUUGCCUAAUUCUUAAUCACAUCCACUAAAUUCUACAUGCUCUUGUACAUGAAAAUGGUAUUUCAUAUAGCAUUUCAUAAUUUCAACUAAUGCAAUAGCAUGAUUUAUCCCUUUAUUCAAUAUAUGAAUUCAUUUCAAUUUUCAUAUCCCAUUUCACCAUUCUAUAUUUUAUUUUCCAUUUCUCAUCCUUGUCAUUUUAAUAUCACACAUAAGUUUUAUCUUUUAUUUUCCUUUAUUAACACAACUUGGACUCGAACAGAUACAUGGAUCCAACCAACACACCAGUUUGGCACUCAAUGCCUCAUUGGAUAAACCUAAAGUAAUAACUGCACCUAAUGCUAUAUAAGUUGACACCUAGUGUCUCAUCAGUUAAACUAAUGCAAAUUGGCACCUAGUGCCUCAUCGACUCGAGGUCGAAGAAAUCCCUGAACUCUUUCUAUCCUAUGGCAUGCCAUCUAUAUCUGACUUAGCCCGAAAUAAUUAAUAGGGUUUCAUCUCACUUUCAAUACAUCCAAUGUCCCAAUUUCAUAUAUGUACAUGAUUACAUAUAAACAUGUAUUCAGAAAUCCCUAAACUCUUUCCAUCCUAUGGCAUGCCAUCUAUAUCCGACUUCGCCCGAAAUAAUUAAUAGGGUUUCAUCUCACUUUCAAUACAUCCAAUGUCUCAAUUUCAUAUAUGUACAUGAUUACAUAUAAACAUGUAUUCAGUUUGGUAGCAAUCACAAUUUCUCAAUUACACAUAUUCAUUUCAAUAUUUAUAAAAGCAUCACUUUCUUGAUAUACAAAAUUUGUCCACUCAAAUCAACUAUGGAUUCAAUUCAGCCUAAGUACAAGAGUUCUCACCUUAAUACUUACCAUAUACAACAAUUCAGUAUGCAACAAAUUAUAACUUAGUUCGGAUUAUAGAAACACAAACCAUAUAUUUCGAGCUACUCGACGUCGACAUUGUCUUUUCCCUUCUUACUCAAGGAUUUCAGAUCGACUUUGCUACAAAAUAAAAUAAUUAAAGUAAAUUAAUAUAAUACCAUUCAAUUAUAAAAAUUUAAAACUUUCUACUAUAUUUUGUUUAUUCUUCAAUUUAGUCUCUAAACUGAGACUAAUUUCAAUCUUUAUACAAAUUUCACUCCAAGCUAAAUUUAGAUCCUUAUUUUCAAUUCUACCCCUUAAUUUUAAAAUUGUUACAAUUUAGUCCCUAUUACUAAAAAUAAACAAUUAAUUUUACAAUAUAGUGCUCUUCCACUUCUAACUUAAAAAUCUAUUAAUUUAACCCGUAAUAUGUAAACUAUUCAACAAUGACAACAUCUAAAAUAUCAAACAAUACUAAAAAUUAUGACAUGGGUCAAGUAGCUCUAAGUACCGAAAUUCUAAAAACAUAAAAAUGUCAAGGAAAUGACUAAAUUGCACUAACCAAUUUGGAUUUAAACCCCUAGGUCCCUUAGCCGUGCGUCUCCCUUGCUAUUUCUUUCUUUCCUUUCUUUUCUUUCUUUUGAAUGUUUGCAUGUGAUUGUUUUGUUGUUUAUUACUAUUAUUUAUUAUUAUCAUCAUCAUUAUUAUUAUAACUUAUAUAUAUAUAUAACAUAUAUAUAAUAUACACAUGCAUAUUCAUUAAAACAUGGCUGGUCACCAUCCAACCAUUUAAUUAAUGGUACAAUUGCUACUUUAGUCAUUUUUAUUUAUUUUAAUCUAUAAAUCAACUUUUGAGCCUUACGUGAUUUAUAGUCCCUCUACCUUAAUAACUCCCAAUUUCACGAAAAUUACCUACCUAAAAUUUAAUUCGCUACUAAACUAACUUUGUAAACAUUUAAUAAAAUAUUUACAGGUUCGUUUUACAGAAAUAGAUUUCCUAGCUUCACUUUUCGACACCCUUGACUAUUUGGUCGUUACAUAGAGGAAGUUCAUGGAAGAGGAAUAUUUGAAGGUGAAAAGACGUGAGUUCAUGGAUUUGGUGGAUGAGUACGAGGUAGAGUUUGUGCAUCUGAGCUAGUAUGUGCCUGAGUUGGUGGCUCAAGAGGCUAGUCGUUGUAAGAGGUUCAGGUUUGGACUAAACUGAGAUAUUAAGUUGUAUCUGGUAGCGUAAUCUACUGAGGUCUUUGGUGAGUUGGUUGAAAAGGUCCAAGAUUCAAAGGAGACUUUGGGUGAGGAGCCCAAAGCUGUUAUUACUAGGAUCGUUAAGAAGUCAUUUGAACCUGCUAGUGGAUCUGGUUGGAAGGCCACGAGAGAUCAUUUUUGGAGGUCUGAACGAUGUGUUGCUAUAGGCUAGGAUUCGGUUAGACAGACCACAAGAGCUAUGACUGACGCAGGUGCUUAGGGAUGUGUUCUAAUGCCGGCUUGAAGGAGAGGUCAUGGCAGAGGUAAUGGUGAUAAAGGGUUUUGAAAAAGAGGAGUUGCUCGAGUUGAGACUGAGGUCCAGCUAGAGUAUACGCACUUAAAGAGCCCCAGACUAGAUAGGCCACAGAUGUCAUCGCAGGUACAUUUACACUAUAUUGUUUUUCUCUUCUAGCUUUAGUAGAUUAUGGUGCUAUGAGAUCAUUUAUUCUGAGAGAUUUAACUAGAGAGUUGGGGAUUUCUGUAGAGACAUCUAAGUUGGGUGUUAGUGUGAGGAGUACACUUGGUGAUAGUGUAGUAGUUGAUUGGGUUUAUCAACAUUGUUAUCUAAUGGUUCAAGGAAAAGUAUUUCCUGUAGAUCCUUUGGAGUUGUCAUUCUAGGGAUGGAUUGGUUGACCGAGCCUCGGGUGAAGGUUAACUGUGAGGCGAAUUGGUGACUCUAUGUUGUGAUGAUGGCUCUAAGAUUGUUGUUUUUGGAGAGAGGUCUAAGUUACUCUCUAAUAUGGUUUCUGCGCUUAAAGCCGAGAAGCUAGUCCGAAAAGGUUGCAAAGCUUAUCUAGCCUAUGUCCUAAAUGUUGAUAGUAGGGAGUUAAGGUUGGAUGAGAGUCGUACAGUUUAUGAUUUUUUGGGUGUUUUUCCUGAGGAGUUGUCUAGUAUUUUACCGGAUAGAGAAGUUGAGUUUGGUAUUGAGCUCUAUCCGGCUACAGCUUUGAUGACAAUUGCGCCUUACUAUAUAGCACCUAAUGUGUUGAAGGAGUUAAAGCUUCAGUUGUAGGAGUUGUUGGAUCGGGGUUUCAUUUGACCGAGUGUGUUGUCUGGGGAGCGUUGGUUCUGUUUGUGAAAAAGAAGGAUAGGACUUUGAGGUCGUGCAUUGAUUAUCACCCUUUGAAUAAGUUGACCAUCAAGAAUAAGUACCCACUUCCGAAGAUCGAUGAUUUGUUUGAUCAGUUUUAGGGAGCUUCAGUUUUCUCAAAGAUUGAUUUGAGAUUUGGGUAUUAUCAGUUAAAGAUGAAGGAUGCAGAUAUUAUGACGACAACAUUUAGGACUCGUUAUUGGCAUUUUGAGUUUCUUGUCAUGCCAUUCGGGUUGACAAAUGCACCUCCCGCAUAUAUGGAUAUGAUGAAUCGUGUAUUCCGUUCAUAUCUAGAUCAGUUCGUUGUGGUUUUUAUAGAUGAUAUAUUGUUGUAUUCUUGAUCAGAGGAUGAGCAUGACGAGCAUUUAAGAGUGGUUCUUCAGAUUUUGAGGGAGAUACAACUGUAUGCCAAGUUGAGCAAGUGUGAGUUUUGGCUUCGAGAGGUGGCUUUUCUUGGGCAUGUAGUUUCAGUUGAGGGUAUUCGGGUUAAUCUGAAGAAGGUUGAGGUAAUCUUGGAUUGGAAGUCGUCAAGGUCUAUGUUUGAGGUCAGGAGUUUCUUGGGCUUAAUUGGUUAUUAUCAUCGUUUCGUCAAGAGGUUUUCAUGUAUUGCAGCUCUGUUGACAAAGUUGCUUUAGAAGAAUACUGCCUUGGAGUGGACUGAUAAGAGGCAAAUGAGUUUUGAAAAGCUGAAGUCAAUUCUGACUAAAGCACCUGUAUUAACACAGUCAAAUUCUGGUAAAGAGUAUGUUGUUUUUAGUGAGGUUUCUUACAUGGGAUUAUCUCUAUCAAAAAUAAUUUAGACCGGAACCCUAUGCAGUCUUACGAUCUCUGAAACAUAUAACUUGACCAACUAUUGAAAGGAGUAAUAUGUCCUAAUAGGAAUGAAGUGUGUAGACUUUGUCUACUGAUCUGCGAUGACCCACACAUAAUCUUUUUUAGUAGGUGUUAAGGGUAACUGACUAACGAAGUCCAUAGUCACCUAUUCCUAUUUCCAUAAGGGAAUUUUAACUGGUUGAAGCAAAGCUGAAGGCAACUAGUGCUCAGCCUUCACCUACUGGCACAUAAGACAAUGAGAAACAAAAUUUGUUACCUUCUAUUUCAAACCAGGCCACCAGUACAACUCACAAAGAUCCCAAUGCAUCUUAUUUCCACCGGGAUGCAUAGCAUAAGGGCUACUAUGCACAUCCCUCAGAAUGGAGUGUCUCAAAUCAAAAUCGUUAGACACACAAACCCAUCCUUGAAAACGUAGGACCCCAUCAUUGUUUAGCCCAAAAUUAGAUGUACUACAAUCCUCCACCUGACCGACUCGUAGAAACAAAGAAUCAUCCCCUAAUUGCUUAACCAGGAUCUGCCCAAUCCAAGUCAGCUUAACUUGAAACUCAGCUAACAAACUCCCAUAAUCAAUUAGACUUAAGCGAGCAAAUAUCGCCCUUAAAUCAGACAUUGGUCUACAACUAAGAGCAUCUGCCACUAUAUUGGUUUUACCGGGAUGAUACUCAAUAGUGCAGUUGUAAUCCUUAAACAACUCAAUCCAUCUAUGUUGCCUAAGGUUUAUCUCCUUCUGAGUAAGGAGAUACUUGAAGCUCUUAUGAUCGGUGUAAAUGAUACACUUCUCACCAUACAGAUAGUGCCUUCAAAUCUUUAAGGUGAAAACAACUACAGCUAACUCAAGAUUGUGAGUAGGAUAGUUUCCUUCGUGUGACUUAAUCUAUCGAGAUGCAUAAGCCACCACCUUACCAUCUUGCAUUAAAACACACCCCAAACCUACGUAAGAUUCGUCCUUGUAUACCACGAAUUCCUUAUUGAUUUCAGGCUAUAUCAGAAUAGAGGCCUAAGUUAAAAUGAAUUACACUUCUUGAAGCUCGACUGCUACUCAUUUGUCUAGACAAACGGAUUGUUCUUAUGCAAUAACUUAGUCAAAAGAGCUGCAAUGAAUGAAAACCCCUCGAUAAACCUUUGAUAAUAACCCACCAGUCCAAGAAAACUAUAGAUCUCGGAAACAUUCCUAGGUUGUUUUCGUUCAAGAACAGCCUUGAUUUUCUUAGGAUAAACUCGAAUCCUCUCAGCAAAAACCACAUGACCCAAAAAAGUUAUCUCCCUUAACCAAAAUUCACAUUUCCUCAAUUUAGCGUAGAGAUUUUUUCCCUCGGUGUAUCCGAAGAACUACUCUAAGAUGCUUAUCAUGAUCAUCUUCAGUCUUAGAGUAUACAAGAAUAUAGUCGAUGAAGACUACAAUGAACUGAUCCAAGUACGACUGGAAAACCUAGUUCAUAAGAUCCAUAAAUGCAGUCGAAGCAUUCAUCAACCAAAGGGCAUGACUAGGAACUCGUAAUGCCCAUAACGAGUCCUAAAACUGGUGCUAUGAACAUCGAUUUCCUUAACCUAAAGCUGAUGGUACCAGAAUGAAGAUCUACUGUGGAAAAUAUAAAAGCCCCACGGAAAUGGUCGAACAAAUCGUCGAUCGUCGGAAGUGGGUACUUAUUUUUUAUUUUUAACUUAUUUAACUAACGGUAAUCGAUACACAUCCUCAUAGUACCAUUAUUUUCUUCACGAUCAAAAUUGGUGCCCCCCACGGAAACACACUGGGAUAGAUAAACCCUUGAUCAAUGAGUUCUUGAAGCUGAGCCUUUAGUUCCAUAAGCUCCUUUGUUGCCCUCUGAUGGGGACCAAUAAAUACCGGAGCAGCACCCGAUAAAACCUCAAUACUGAACUCGACCUCCCUAUCUAGAGGCAAACCCAAAAACUCCUUAGGAAAAACAUACGGAAAAUCCUUAACCAUCUGAAUAUUCCGAAUGGAUGAACCCGUAGAAACAGAAUUACACACGUACGCCAGAAAUGCCUCACACACUUCAAUAACCAACUUUUCUGCCACAAGAGCGAAGAUUACAUUAGAUACAUAAUCCCAACACUCACUGAUCAUAAUCACCUCCACAUCAUUCUCUGAUCUCAGAACUGCCCUCUUAGUAGCAAAAUCCAAACUUACCCGAUGCUUCACAAGCCAGUUUAUUCCCAAAAUCAGAUCGAAUUCCCCAAAUGGUAGUUCCAUUAGAUUAGUCAGAAACGCAACUCUUUAUGACUCCAACGGUACAUUCCUAUAUAGCCUAUUAUCUUGAACUGACUGACCCAGUGGACUGACCACAAUAAUCUCUCCAGAAGUGCUCUCAAUAGAACUUUCCAAAUUUACAGAAAUAGAACUACCUACAUAGGAAUGUGCUGAUAUUAUAUCUAUGAGAGCAAAAUAAGGUACAAUACGAAUAAAUAAUGUAUCAGGAAUAAUAUUUGUGGUGUCUUUAUCCUCACGAUGUCUAGCAGCAUAUACCAAUGCAGGCUACCUUGCCUCAGCCUAGUUAGCACCUGUGCCCGAUGGUCUCUGACCUCUAGCCAUACUAUUACCACCCCUAGCGAAACCAUGACCCCUAAACGACUACUGAACUGCCCACUGAGACUGAAGAAAUCCUAGAGUUGGGGCUUGCAUCUAAUCAGAAUGCUAUGGACAAUCCCUGAUGUGGUGAUCCAUUGACCCACAUCGCAGACACGCUUCCAAUCUCUUCCAACAUUUGCCCGGAUAGCGUCUAGCACAAUCCCUACAUGGCUAAGCCACGGUAGGUGCAACUAAAACCUUAAUUGUGGAAGGCCUAUCAGAUCUAGCCCGUUUCUUAAGCCUCUGAGCAAAACUAGAUAGCUCUAUAUCCCUUUUAUUUUUACCCCUCUCACACUCUCUAUUUUCGUGCUCAACCCACGUAACCUCUUCAACAAUUCUCGUAUUGUUCGCCAAGACAGUACAUACCCGCUCCCUCUAUGGAGCUAUCAAAACCUUUAGAUUAUCCCUCAAUUCAUCCUCAAAAUGAAUACACUUCUCAUAUUUAGUUUAUACCAACCCGCGAGCAUAUCAACUUAAUCUAAAAAAUUCGGCCUCAGAUUAGGCCAUAGUCUUAUCUCCCUAGGUAAGGCUCACUCACGUCUACGAGAAUCCACAUAACUCGACCCCACAUGUUUACCCUAGAAGGCGCUCUUAAACUGAUACUAAGGACUCUAUUCCAGCUGAGUACCCUCCUCAACCGUUUACCACUAUUGAUAUGCCUCAUCGCAAAGUAGAGAUAUUGCACCCUUCUAUUUUUGCUCAGGGGUACAGUCGAUGUCAUUCAUAGUCCUCUUUGUGGCCUCCAACCAAUAUUUGGCCACAAUGAGGGAGACUCCAGUUACGCCUCUAAAUAACUCAACGCCAUUGGACCAGAGUCGCUCAGUUACUGACCCACAGCUCUCAGAAGAAGAAUGGGGCCCAACGAUCCUCUUCAGAACUCUUAACCUUUCUUGGGACAAUACGUCAUCCCCAGUCAAGCGACUUUGAGACCCGAUCUCAACAGUGGGUGUAGCCAGUGUCUCACUCAUGUUUAGAUUCGGCAUACUACCCAUCGAGGAUAACUCAGCUCGAGCUCCUCUACAGCGCCCCUCGUGCCAACGAGUACCAUGACCAUGAGAUCUACGAAUGCUCAUUGUAUAUAAUGUCUGCAUUAAAAAUUUUAUGUAUCAUUUCCAACAUUUAUUAGCAGAUAAUUUAUGCUCAAAAGUUACCAAAAGAAGUUUUAGAAAUAUUUCAAUCUCUAAUUAUCACAGUACAAUUCCAAUCAUUUCAGAGUUUCCUAAACUAAAGUAUUUCUAAGUCAGAAGUACUUACAGGAUCAGCGCUGGAGACUCGGUAUUUCACAAAAUUAUUAUAUUUUUUCAAAUUCAGGUAGAAAUAAACUAUACUCGAACAAACAAUUUUCACAAAAAUAAUUUUGAACCCAAAAUUUCACAGCCCGAGUUUUGUAACCUAACUCUGAUACCAUUAAAUGUAACACCCCAAACUCGGCCUGGACGUUAUGGCUAGAUCUGGAGAUGCUACGUAAAGCAAUUGUAAAUCUGGUUUUCGUAUAUUUUGAAAUACCUCAUAAACUUUUGUUACUAAAAUUUUUUUUAUUAGAAAACGCAUUUGACAUAAUUAUUUAUUUGAAAACAUUGUUUGUUUACUUUUUUUAAAUAAAACAAAUACUUUGCCGCAGAAAUUCUUUGAUCGUUAUAAAUUGGAAAACUAAGUUUGUUUUCUCAAAAUCGUUGUUUGCAGAAAAAUAGUCAUAUUCGGUAAAUCGUUUUAACAAUAUCAUGUGAAAAUAAAAAAUAAAAUCCAAAAUCAAGACAAUCCCAAAACUAUCCAAAUUCUACAAAACACUUAAUUAAAUAUAGUUAAAAAGAACGAAAUGCUAAUAUAUCCAAGCUCUCAUCGCACUGACCCGCUUAAGUCUGAGGAUUACCUGAAAAUAUUAGUCAAACAAAGAGUGAGUUUUUGAAACUCAGUGUACAUCGAAUAACUAAAAGCAGUUAGAUGCAUAUAAGAUAGAUUUAUAACAAAACAGAACAAAUAUGACAUAUAAUCCUACCCCCAACCGCUACACACCAUUUUCAACCAUCCCAACACAUUAUAUGGGUAUAAAACACCUAUUCAUCCUUAUACACCACUUAGUGUCAAUAUGAUACUAUACAGAACAGUUGCAACUGAGUUGCCGGAUCAAUAUGUGAUUUAUCACCUUUUUACAGAAUCACUUCCUCCAUGCAACCUUUACAACCCAACCUAGAUGUAGAUACAAAAUACAAUAAAUAUCAUAUAAAUUGAGAGCAUAAAUUAUACAUGUCACAGUUUUACAUGCACAACGUAUCAGAUAUAUAUCACAUGCUUAUCAUAAAUGUUUAGAUUUAUUAAUCAUUCAACAUCUUAAUUACUCUUACAGAUAAUAGAAACUAUACUAACAGAUGUCCAGCUGUCAUGUUUUACAAUACAUAACUCACAUAUCGCCUCUAUGAAAGACCCACGGUCGAUCAUGGUUCGUGUAUGGCCCUAGAGGAAAUUUCAAAAUUUUGGGCCUACACGCUCAUGUGACCCACAUGGCCCAAGAAGUGCAACCUGUGUGGCCCACACGCCCGUGUGGUCCACAUGGCCCAAAUAGCCCAGACCAUGUGUCACACACAAUCCAGCACACCGUCUAUCACACGGCCCAUGGCCGUGUGGGGUCGAUAGUAAACUUUUUUGACUUUUGUCGAUUACUAUUUUUUUCAUGUUUUUGAUACACAAUUUCUUGUUUUCCAAUGUACAUCCUAAAAAUGAAUAAUCCUACAGCUAAACCAGCAGUUAAUCACAACCCAAAUCAGUAACGGUUCACGAAUUUAAACGAAAGUUUCUCAAAUGAACUAAUUAAAACCCUCCCAAAACACAUUCGAAACUCUUACCACUAACAAACAACAAUCACAUGAAAUUUAGGAUGCUGGAGGAUCCCCAAUUGUCUCAUGAACUUCCCCUAAAACGAAUCAAAUUAAUUAGGUAACCCAAAAUACGAAUCUUUACACCACAAUCUCGAUAUUUCAACAAAGCCAAAUGCCGAAAGAACAAUUAUAACAAAGGAAUUAAGAAAAUAAUAAAAAUAAAACCUUACCUCUGUUAAUUGAACCCAACUAAACGAAGACAAGAAAAAAAACUAACUGAAAGUGAUGGCAACAGGAGAAAGAACACAAAACAAAAUAACCAAAAAGAAACGAACAGGAGAAAAACGUAGGAAGGGAGAAAGAAAACUAAAAGAAAAAGAAAAGUAACUAAUGAAACAUGAGAAAUAGGGAAAGAAAAUGAAUAACAAUAAAAAAAAUGGACUUGAAACAGAGGAAAACGUGGGAUAUUUUGGAAAAAGAAAUUUAAUUAAUUUAUUAACAACCAAUUUAUCUUCAAAAGAAAUCAAAUCCUAUCCCACUAACUAAUCAAUAUUUUUUCCUAGAGUCUAAAUUUCAUCCAAACUCCUCCAUUAGCUUGCUAGAGAAUGAAAAAGAUAAAAUAUUUCUUAUGCAUAUAAAGACUCGAAUACAAAACCUUAAGCAGAUACGCUAAGCACUUAACAACUCAAUUAGACCAAAUCACACAACAACCUACAACAAAUCAAAACUUAAAUUUUUGGGGCCUUUACAUUAAUUGUAGCUUGUCAAGGAGUGGAUAGCUUUGUGGCUAAGGUAAAUCCAUCAUAUGAUUUAACUGUUGUUUGUUAAGCAUGAUUUUGAAUGUUUAAAUUAUGAAUACAUAUUGUUUAUUUGUUGUAAUUAGAUUAAUUAAAAUUGUAUUUAUAUGAUUAAAUUAAUAGAACAUAGCUAAUAUAACUUUAAUUAGUAAAUGAAUUCAGGAAAAAUGGUUAAUUACAAUGAAUUUUAGGUGUUUCCCAAAAUUUAUUAAAAUGAAGUUAGUAAUCAUUUAGAAUUAAAAUCGAGAUCGUUUAGUUUUAAGUGAUAAAAUGACUGAAAUACCCUUAGGGUUAAAUCCUUAAAAAUAGUUUUUAAAAUGGUUCACAAAUCAUUCCCACAAUACGAUUAGAUAGAUAUUAGUUAGAAUUGAGGUGUUAUAAAUUUGGGGUGUGUUUUGGGGUGGUUUGUGCUAAAUAGUCACUAUGAUGGCUAAUGUGUCGCUUCAGAUUCGGGUCGAUCUGUUUCGGUUGGAUUUGGGGUGUCACGUACUCAAUUGAAAUCAAUAUAUAUGUAGAGAUUAGAGUCACAACAAUCGGAGAAAGGAAAAUAAUACAAUAAUUUAUUCAAAUUGGAGAAAGUGAAUGAAUGGUAAUGAAAAAAAGUAGAAAGAAGACCCAACAAAAACCUAAAAUACGAUGAGACAAAAAGUAGGUCCAUUGAUAGUUCUAUUUUUGCAUCAAACAUGUGGUUUGAAUGAACUAUGAAAACCCACCACACAACUCAAUAAUAAAACAAAUAACAAACCAAAACCUUCCACAUUCAGAGAGACAUAUACACUCAACAACUAGUCAUGUUUUUUUUUUUUUUGCCAUGUUGAAAUAUGUAAGAAAUGGACAAAAUAACCUAAGCUCUUUAUCUUCAAUAUGUGAACUUUCUUAUUCAUUAGUUUUUUUUCUUUAGUCUUAAUCAAGAAACUUAGGGUUAUGAUUUUUCUAAAUAUUGUGAAUAAAAUUUAAGAACAACUUAUUAUUCAUGAGACAAAUAUGCAUGAGAGAAAAUGUGUUCAAAACCCAUGAGUUGUUUAAAAUUUUUAGUCUCAAAUGAUGGAUUUAAUUCCACUGAUGCUUUAGAGCUCACAAUGCUGCUUGGAAAACUACAAUAUUUGACAUUCACAAGGUCGUAUAUUUGCUCCUUUGUCAUGAAAUUAUCACAAUUCAUGCACAAUCCAUUUGGAUUACAUUAGAGAAUAGACAAACUAUUACUGCAUUACUUGCAACAAACAAAAAAUCUUAGUCUUUGAAUAUUUGAUUGUUGUGACUCUGGUGGAUCGGUCACUUUGUGUUGUCUUUGGCCUUUUAUAAUUUAAAUUCAUAAAACUUGACUCACAGUGCUAAAUUAUAUUUAAUUCGAUCCAUUUAUUUCUCUUAGUAAUUAACUAAUGUUCAUUUUAAAACUUUGUCAGUGUUGCUUCCUCUCCUUACAUUCAAUCUUGAUGCGAAUAAAGAUACAAAUUAUUAGAAAUAGUUACAAGAGAAGUCUCUUUAUUUUUCACAAAGUAUAACUAUACUUACAAAGUUACAAGAGAAAUCCCCAUAUUUUUCGAAUUUAAUGUUUAUGCAUUUUCCAACUAUGCUUCAUGAUUAAUUUAAUAAUCUUUUUAUUUUUAAAUUUAAAAGCAACAUAUUUACUAUCUUUUUGUAAUUAUCUAUAUUACUCAAAGCCUUAAAUUUAUUCAAAAUCAUUUUGAAUGAAUUACCUUUUAAGCUCACAAUCUAUUAUAUGAAUUAAAACUUAGUUCUUUUUUUUUUACAUUUAAAAAAAAUUCAAUAUUUUUAAAAACCCUCCAAAAACACAUUCGAAACUCUUACCACUAACCGAUAACAAUCUUUACACUACAAUCUCGAAAUUUUAGCAAGGACAAAUGCCGAACGAACAACUGUAACAAGAGAAUUGAGAAAAAACAAAAAAAAAACUUUACCUCUACGAAUUGAACCCGACUAAACAAAGACAAAAGAACCAAAACUAAUUGAAAGUGAUGGCAACAGGAGAAAGAACACAAAACAAAAGAACAAAAAGGAAACGAAUAGGAGAAAAACGUGGGAAGGGAGCAAGAAAAUUAAAAGAAAAAGAAAAGCAAUUAAUGAAACAUGUGAAAUAGGAAAAGAAAAUGAAUAAAAAUAAAAUAAAAACAAAAUGGACUUGAAACAGGGAAAACAUGGGAUAUUUUGGAAAAAGAAAUUUAAUUAAUUUAUUAACAAACAAUUUAUCUUCAAAAAGAAAUCAAAUCCUAUCCCACUAACUAAUUGUAUUUUUUUUUCCUAUAGUUUAAAUCUAAUCCAAACUCCUCCACCAUCUUGCUAAUGAAUGAAAAAAAUAAAAUAUUUCUUAUGCAUAUAGAGACUCAAGCGCAAAACCUUAAGCAAAUACGUUAAACACUUAAUCGCUCAAUCAAACCAAAUCACACGACAACAACUAGUAAAUUAAAACAUAAAUUUUUGGGGUGUUACAUUAAUUGUAGCUUGUCAAGGAGUGGAUAACUUUGUGACUAAGGUAAGUCUAUUGUAUGAUUUAAUUGUUCUUUGUUAAACAUGAUUUUGAAUGUUUAAAUUAUGAAUACAUGUUGUUUAUUAGUUGUAAUUAGAUUAAUUAAAAUUGUAUAUAUAUGAUUAAAGUAAUAAAACUUAGCUAAUAUAGCCUUAAUUAGUAAACGAAUUAGGGAAAAAUGGUUAAUUAAAAUGAAUUUUAGGGGUUUCCCAAAAUUGAUUAAAAGGAAGCUCGUAAUCAUUUAGAAUUAAAAUUGGGAUAGUUUAGUUUUAAGUGGUAAAAUGACUAAAAGACCCUUAGGGUUAAAUCUUUAAAAAUAGUUUCAAAAUGGUUUACAAAUGAUAAGCUAUAAAAGUAACAUAUUUUAAUCCUAUUCUUAAUGCAUUUUUAGAUGAGUAUUUAUGCAAAUUAGUGAAUUUGAUGCUCCUAACCCUUUAAAUUCAUGUUUCUAUACUUAAGAGAGCAUUUGGGAGUGAAAGCAGCAAAAAAUGAGCCAAAAUCGAACAAAUAAAGCUGUUUUCAAGAGCCACACGGCCUGGGCAUUUCCACACGGGCUGGACACACGCCUAUGUGCAAGUCUAUGUCGAUUUCGCACCUUGCUUCCCAAAUACGCGAAAAAACACAAAUUUUAGGUCUUUUGAGCAUUCUAAAGUCUAUAAAUACCACUUAGAAGAAGACAUAAGGGAGCCAUAAGAGAAGAUCAAACAAAAUACUUGAAGAACACCAUCAGAAUCAACUCGGAAGUAGAUCUCCAUCAAGAUCAAAGACCUCCUUUUAAUUUCUUCUGAAGUUUUUAUGAGUUUCUUUGUUUCUUGUGAUUUUUCUGAUUUUGAGAUGUUUCUAUUUACGAUUAUGAACUAAUUCCCUAGAUACCUAGGAAUGAUGUAACCUAUGAUAAAUCUUAUUUUUUGAUUUUUGAUUUACAUGAUAAAUACUUGAUUCUUGUUCUCAAUUAUGUAUGUUAAUUUGUUAUUUUAAUAUUUCAAGGAUAUUAAGUCAUAUUUAAUGUGCUUAAUUCAGUGGAACAAAAGUCUCUAUUAUUCAAAUCGGAGAAAGGUACAUGAGUGAGUGGUAAUGAAAAAAAGUAGAAAAAAGACCCAACAAAAACCUAGAAUACGAUAAGGCAAAAUGUAGGUCCCAUUGAUAGUUCUAUUUCUGCAUCAAACAUGUGAUUUGAAAAAAACCAUGAAAACCCUCCACACAACUCAAUAAUGAAACAAAAAACAAACCAAAACUUUCCACAUUCACACACACAUAUACACUCAACAACCAGUGAUGGUGUUUUUUUUUUUUAGCCAUGUUGAAAUAUGUAUGAAAUGUACAACUAAAGAACCUAAGCUCUUUGACUUCAAUAUGUGAACUUUCUUAUUCAUUAGUUCUUUUGUUUAGUUUUAAUCAAGAAACUUAGGGUUAUGAUUUUCUAAAUGUUGUGAAUAAAAUUUAAGAACAACUUAUUAUUCGUAAGACAAAUAUGCAUGAGAGAAAAUGUGUUCAAAGCCAAUGAGUUCUUUAGAAUUUUAGUCUCAAAUGAUGGAUUUAAUUCCACUGAUGCUUCAGAGCUCACGAUGGUCCUUGGAAAACUACAAUAUUUGACAUUCACAAGGUCAUAUAUUUGUUACUUUGUCAAUAAAUUAUCACAAUUCAUACACAAUCCAUUUGGAUUACGGUAGAGAAUAGACAAACGAUUAUUGCGUUACUUGCAACAAACAAAAAAAUCUUAGUCUUUGAAUAUUUGAUUGUUUUGACUCUAAUUUCUACAUAUAUAAUGAUGGCGAUUAUGUUGGUAUUUUAUAGUUUCACUCCAAUUAGUUGGACAUAAAAAAAAAUUACUAUUGCACAAUCUUCAACUGAAGCUGAGUAUCGUGCUCUUGUAGCUACUUUUGAAACUCUCUGAGUCAAACAUCCACUCAAAUAGCUUUAGAUGCCUUUUUAAUCCUCGUAAAAUAUUCUGUGACAAUUUUAGUGACACUCUACCUUGUCAUCAUCAUUUUCUGCAUAGCAAGAUUAAGCAUUUUGAAAUUGAUGGUCACUUUUUUAGUUUUAUAUAUUAAUAGUAAGGAACUUGAUGUUCAUCAUAUCUAUGCCACUGCCUAGUUGCCAAUAUACUCACCAAGGCUCCAAAAACAACCUUUCAUUGUAGCUAUUGACUAAGUCUUUUAAUUACAGGAUAAAUCUUAUUUUGAAUUAAUUUUUAAGCUUUAUUUUUCACCAAGUAUAACUAUAUUUACAAAGUUACAACAGAAAUCCCCAUAGUUUUCGAAUUUAAUGUUCAUGCAUUUUCCAACUAUGCUUCAUGACUAAUUUAAUAAUCUUUUUAUUUUUUAAUUUAAAAGCAACCUAUUUAUUUAUUUUUUUCAAUUAUCUAUAUUACUAAAAGUCUUAAAUUUAUUCACAUUUUGAAUAAAUUACCUUUUAAGCUCGCAAUCAAUUAUACGAAUUACAAGUUAAUUUUUUUACAUUUUUAAAAAUUCCUUUUCAAUAUUUUUUCAAAGGAAACGUUGUUUUUCGGUAUUAAUGUAAUGCAUAAAUAAUUGUAUUAACCAAUCUAUUCUUAAAAAUUACAUCUUCCUUCAUGAAAAGUCAAUUACUAUUAAAUAGUAAUCAAGUCAUUCAUCACAAAGACAAACGACCCGUUGCCACAUUUACUUUUCAUCAACAAUGUAAUGCUAAUGAGAGGAUGUUAUUUACCCAUGUCUUGGGCUAUGAAAUCCACUAUUAUGAAUGAUGCUACAUACUACAAAAGUUGUAUACCCAAGGCAAUAGCUUUCGAUUCCUUAUCUAUUUGAACUCAAGAUUUUACUUACAUUAAACUAUACGAGUCACGCAUACAUAGUUUGUCAUCCACUCAGGAUUUAGGUAUGUCACACUAUGAAUGUCACAAGUGAAUAAAUCAAUAAACGGAUUUAGGAUCUAUUCUUUUUGGGUCCAGUUCGAUGUACUGUCAGUCUAGUCAAUCACAUCUAUGUCCUAUCUUUUGGGAGUCAUCUGCUCCGAUGCCCAAGACAAAGCAUCUCCCCAAUUGGACUUGAUAGAUGACGUAUUAGUCUUUUAAUCAGUUUGCUCAUUUCCAAUUAGACUAAGGACAUGUUUAGGUUCAUCUACUAAUAUAAGAUGUCUUUUUUGUAUUACAAUCUAAGCACGCAAUACCUCUUAGCAUUAGUUUAAGCAUUAGACAACCAGUGAGACACAUGCUUCUAAUUUUCUUUGCAUGCAAAAACUAUAUAAGGACAAUUGUAAAAAGUAUUAAUGUAAUUCAUAAAUAAUUUUAUUAGCCAAUCUAUUUUUAAAAAAAUUACAAGUGUACUUUGACGAAAAUACUACACUUAGGGCACCGGAGCUAACAAACACUACAACUUCCAUUAAGGAUUUCAAAGGAUCAUACUCAAUCAGAUUUCUUCCACAUGAACCUUCAUCAUCGAUCCCCACAUUGAUGGACUCAAUUACUUUUUGGGUCCUCCUAUUGUAGACUCUAUAGGCUCUAUUAUUUGUUGCAUACCCCAGAAACACACCUUCAUCAGACUUGGAAUCAAACUUCUCUUGAUGGUCUCGAUCCUUCAAGAUAAAAUAGGUACUUCCAAAGACAUGAAAGUAUUUCACAGUUGGUUUUCUACCCUUCCACAACUCGUAGAAGGUGAAUUAAGUCUUUGGCCUUAAGUCUACCUUGUUCUUUCUUUCUACAAUUCCAUUUUGUUAAGGAGUAUUUGGAGUAGAAAACUUGUCCUGCCACAAAUUAUAGUGGCAGUUUAUGUACUUUUCGACACUUAACAAGUUUGUUUCUAGCUAUUUUAGUAUCUUUUAUUGCAUUUUAAGUUUUCUUAGCUUAGAGUUAAAUUAUUGCAAAAUAAGGGUUUUUCCGCAAUAUUUUGUGUUAGUUGACCCAUUAGUCCAAUAUCGGCCUUAAGAUAGUUAAUUGAGUGUACAUGACACCUAUUUUUAAGCCAAAAAGCAUCACGAGUGAUAGUCGAGUCGCAACAAAGCUUCCACGAUCGCAACACAACCAAACCAAUUCAAGAAUUUUACAUUCGAAGUCGUGUGUUGCGAUACAAGUCCGAUGUGGGAAAAAGAUUCAUAAAGGGUGUUUCUAUCUACACAACCUAUAUUUGGCUUCAUUAAGGCUUGUAAUUGACCUUAUGAAGCAACUAACUUUGCCUAUAAAUAGCAAGCUUAUGCUAGUAUUUUAAUAUUUUCUUUUCAAAAUAAUUUAUUUUUUUUGUUCUUCAACUUCUAUUUGAUUUGAUUCCAAGACUUUGUCUUAAAGUAUUUUUAUAAUUUUCUUUCCCUUCUUGAUUGUCAACGGUGAUAUCUCGCUAGUUGUUAAAGGAUUUCGUGAAACUGAGCACAUCCAGUUUAUCAAACGGAGCAAUUUCUAUCUCACUCUCAUUUUAAUUUAUUUGUGUGUUGUGCGUGAUUGAAUUGAUUCUAGGGAAUAUGGAAAUGGGAUUCAUGAGUAGCUAAGUCCUUUAGAGAGAUUAAAGGGCUUCCCAGACGAAUUAGCUGGUAUAAAUUUAUGUGUGCUUAAACCCUAGGAUUGACGAUCGUAAGAAGUAUCUAGGUUAAACAAGGUUGAGACAUAAGUUUGCCAAGUAAAUCGUGAGUUUAUCUCAAUCAGGAAAGUGAGGUCGAGAGAUAGGUGAGUACUAGUUAGUUAAUUAAUUAGUAGAGGUCGAGAGGUAAAACUACUUAGUUAAUAACUAAUUCACUAAUAAAGCCUAAAUUCUGAAGUUAAUUGCAACCACUGAAACAAGUUAAUAUUCUUCUUGUUCUUCAAGAGUUAUUCAUUUUUCAAGUUUGUUUUAGUAAUUUAGUUUUUACUUUAUGACCUUAAUUGUUAGUAUUAAUCAUUGUAAUAUAAUUUUUAGUGAUUAUUAUUUAGACCUGCUAUUAUAGACGAUAUUUUUAGAUUUAAUCCAGCCUCUCUUAGGUCUAAUCCUUGAAAUACUUACUGGUGUUUCGUUGUAACAGAAAACUAUAUUACAAUUUGACCUAUUCACUUGGAGAUAUCGCACUGUAAUUAUAUAUAUUUUAUUUGUAGAAUUUUUACUCUAAAUGCUCGCACAUUUGGAAGCGGUCAAAACUCAUGCUUGAUCCCUUCAUCCUCAUAGUAAACAUCAAAAUCUUUAUUUUUUAAUUCCCUUUCAUGAUCACUUCUUAUUCUUCUAGUCAUUCCAAUGACACGACCCUUUUCAUUCAUCAAGGUCUUGCACAACUUCUGACGGCUUCAAGGGUGUCUGAUUUGUCUCUAAGAAAUUUCACCCAUGUGAACCUUGAAUAGUCAUCCACACAGACUAGCACAUAUCUUUUGCCACUGAUUUUCUGUAUCUACAUAGGACUAAUAAAAUCCAUAUAAAACAGCUCUAGUGGCUCGAAUGUUUGGUCUUGAGUGACUCUUUGAUGUUUCUCCCUAUGUUGCUUACCCUUCAAGCAACUUCUAAAAACUUUAUAGACAUCACCAAUUAAUAUAGGAAUACCCCUGGCAACCUCGGACUAGAUCAACAUUUGAAGUCCUUUGUAAUGCAUGCGACCAAGUUUCUCAUGCCACAAUCCUAACUCAGAGACAAUUGCCUUAUUUCACUUCACAUACUGUAGAACUUUAUAACAAUUAUCAAAGGUCCUCUACCUUUUCAUAAUUUUAUCUUUUAUCUCGAAAGAGACUUCACAACUAUCUUUUAUGAAAUUGAUUAACAUUCUUUGGUCACAAAACUUAUUUAUACUAGUUAAUCACAAUAUUUUUUUUAUAAAAGAUAUUUUCUAAAAUUAUAUGAUAUAAAAUGUCAAAUUAAUUCCGAUGUACAAUAGGUGGAAUUAUUUUAUUAAGUCGUACAUAUAAUUUGUUGAAAAAAUUGUACUUAUAAUUUGUUAAAAUAACAUUAGGAUAAAAAUUAUAAAGGUCCAUAUGAAAAAUUAUGAAGAGAGAAUUCUUCCUCUAGCUUAGGGUACAAUGAUUAAUAUACAAUUGUUAUUAUUUCAUAAAAAAAGAUUAUAAAGGUAAUAAUUAUAUCGGUGUAAGUUAUCUCUUGUAUAUUUUACUUCACUUAAAUUCGUCGAAGCCUCCAUAUGAAAAAUUGGAUAUAUGUAUAUGUGUAUAUAUAUAUUGCCAGGGAAAUCUAAUAUGAGUAUCUUCCUUGGUCUUCAUUUUCAAAUUGCCAUGGAAAUCUACUACUCUAUGUUCAUCGCUCCUUUUACAACAAUGCUAAGCUUCUCCACCUUACUUGCUUUCAUCACUUUUGCUUUGAGUCACCUCUUUAAGCUUCAAUGGCAGCGCAAUGCCCAAAAGCCUAAACAGCCCUCUCUUCCGCCAGGCCCUAAACCUUGGCCUAUUGUGGGAAACCUCCCUGAAUUAAUCAUAAAUAAGAAGAAAACUUCGGUGUCUUAUUGGAUACACAGUUUCAUGAAAGAAAUGAACACCGAAAUUGCUUGUAUUCGUCUAGGAAAUGUUCAUGUGAUUCCCGUUACUUGUCCUGAAAUCAGUCUCCAAUUCAUGAGAAAACAGGAUGCUAUUUUUGCUUCAAGACCACUUACCAUGGCCACUGAUGUCCUCUCAAAAGGGCACUUAACCACUAUUUUUUCACCCUUAGGAGAUCAGUGGAGAAAAAUGAAGAGAGUUAUGGUCAGCGAGAUGCUUUCACAUGAAAGACAUCGAUGGCUUCACGAGAAAAGAGUUGAAGAAGCUGAUAACCUCGUGCGUUACGUACUUAACCAAUGCAAAAAUGGUGAUGAAGGCGGCCUAGUGGACUUAAGACUGGUUGCCCGACACUAUUGUUGCAAUGUGAUAAAAAAGUUGAUCUUUAAUCGAGGGUACUUUGGAGAAGGGAAAGCAGAUGGUAGACCUGGUUUUGAGGAAGAAGAAUACGUCGACGCCAUUCUCGCUUUAGUCAUUCAUCUUUAUUCCUUUUGUAUAUCCGAUUACUGGCCAUUUUUGAGAGGCCUCGACCUGGAGGGGCAUGAGAAAAUCGUGGAGGACGCCACUAGGGUUCUAGAGAAAUAUAACAAUCCCAUUAUUGAAGACAGGAUUCAACAAUGGAGAGAUGGCAAGAAACAUGAACCUCAAGACUUGCUUGAUGUUUUGGUUUCUUUAACGGAUGACAAUGGUACCCCACUACUGUCCGCGGACGAGAUCAAAGCUCAAGUAAAUGUACGUCUUUCCUUCUCUUUAAUUGUUUUUGAACAAAAUAUAAGCCACCAACAUGUUAAUGUUUAUUAAAAAUGGAUUACUAAGACAUGACAAUAACAUAAAUAUGAUAUAAUAUACACGUGUCAUCAUAGAAAAUCAGCCCUGUAUAUUGAUAGUCUCUUUUUCAACUUAAUUUUCAGGAAAUUAUGAUUGCUGCAGUGGAUAAUCCAUCAAAUAACUUAGAAUGGGCACUUGNNNNNNNNNNNNNNNNNNNNNNNNNNNNNNNNNNNNNNNNNNNNNNNNNNNNNNNNNNNNNNNNNNNNNNNNNNNNNNNNNNNNNNNNNNNNNNNNNNNNGGUUAAUACAAGAAUCUGAUGUCCCACAACUUAACUUUACUAAGGCAUGCGCCAGAGAAGCCUUUAGACUCCAUCCUGUUGCAGCAUUUAGCCCUCCUCACGUGUCCGUGACUGAUACAACAGUGGGCGACUACUUCAUUCCUAAGGGUAGCCAUGUGAUAGUUAGUCGGGUUGGGCUUGGUCGAAACCCUAAAGUUUGGGACGAGCCAUGCGAGUUCAAGCCAGAACGUCACCUCCAGAAUUGUAAUAAAGGCGAAGAAGUGGUGCUUGAAGAGCCAGAUUUGCGGUUGUUUACAUUCGGUAGAGGAAGGAGAGGGUGCCCUGGAGUGGUGCUUGGAAGCUUGAUGACUACCAUGCUGUUUGCGAGGCUAUUGCAAGGAUUCGAUUGGAGCAUCCCGACUAACCAGGGAACCAUUGAUCUUUGUCCAGGAAGGGGAGUUCCCUUUCUGGCUAAACCACUGCUUGCUGUUGCAAAGCCACGAUUGCCACCGCAUGUCUACUCUUUCUUAACUGAAAGUGAAAUACAGUGAUUAACUCCUUGACGAAGAUGGGGGUUGACAAGGGAGACCUGUUUGUGGCUUGGUUCUAAUGAAAUUGUUUUUAUCCCUAGUAUGUAUUUCCUGUUGUAGCUUAUUUCGGUGUUUGUAUGGGGUGUACUCACUUCAGCAACUUCUUAUGUAUUGUUUUCUCAUUAAUAAAAAUGGAUAAGCAGUUAGUAGCUGAUGUAUUGCUUUCCAUGUAACUUCAUCAAUGCACAUGAUAAAGUUUUUCAAUCGAGCUUUCCAAUAGGCAUGGUUCGAAGAGCCAACGAGAAGAGAUGCUCGCAUAAUAGAACUUCCUUCUUUCAUAACUUCCACGGUAGAAAACUGUAGUAGGAUCAUAUUCAACCAACUCUUGAAGCUUGCUUUGGUACCAUUUGGAAAAAAAAAAAAAAAAAGUCAGUUUGUUGUAAUUUUAACCAGACUACUCAAGUAUGUGUUUUGUCACAGGAUUCAACAGACAACGAAACAAAAACCAGAAUAGAGAAAGUAAUAAGAGAUUUUGCAUGCAAUAAUUUGUUAACGCAGUUCGGAAAUAAUUCUAUUUUGCCAAGACUUGUUUAGUGAAUGAUUCUUAUUCAACAAUCUUUCAUAUUACCUAUUGGUUUAAACCCAAUCUAUCCUUACACAAAAAAGUAAUUGCAACCCCAACACCAAUUAUUACAAAUCACUCACCCCAACUAACCUCGCUUACAUCAAGUAUAAACUCGAAUAAAAGCCUAACACAAGAGUGCAAAAAUACCAAAUAAUCUAUUUAUAGGCUAAAAUCGACAUCUUUUCCAAAUAGUCUUGAUAAAGUAAAUCCAUCAAUUUUAAUUUGAAUAUAUCUUCUGGAAUUAUCUCAAAUAAUUAUCCCAAAUUUUAGUACAAUUAAUCUCCUUAAAAUCAACCCAUAAAUCUGUCAAGAUAAGUACAAAGGAUAAGCACAAGUCUUAUCCACAAAAUUAAGUAAAUCUUAACUUCUUUAAAUUUCCAAAUUGAACCAUGACUUUGAUUUACAAUAAAUCUCAUCCAUAAAUUAGGUUCUAGAAGUUCAUUUUCUUGUGGAAACAUCACAUAAAAAGGCUCAAGUCAUAUAAAUCAAUAAAACAUUCAGGUUAUCCCAACGUCUUGAUCAAAUCUUAACUGAUCAAGUGACUGGUCUCAACCAUCAAAUUCUCAAUGCUUGGACAACCUUGGUCUUAAUAUUUUUGGUAAAACCAUUUCUUCCUAUUGCAAGGCCACGAUUGCCACCUUUAAGUCUACUUUUUUAGGGAGUAAAUGAAAGAGAAAGAAAGAGAAACACAGUGAUGUUACAAGGAAUAAAAUAAAGUAUUAAUUUUAUUACCCACAUUUGUUAAUAAAAAAUAAAAUCUCAGCUCGUAAGGUUGGGUUGAUCAUUUGUACACUAUUUUUUAUUGCCACAAAAUAUUAUGUUAAUUAAAUGUAUUUUAAAUAUUUUUCAAAAAAAAAAAAGGAUAUUAAUUAUUGUAUUGUACCAAUCGACUAUUUGCAUUGGCCCCUAUGUAUAUCCAUUUUGGAGAGUGUUUUCAAUCAUAAGGAAUUGUUGUGGAAGCAAAAGGCUUGUUGUGGCUAGCUUCAUUUUGGUGAUCAUAAUACUAAAAUUUUCAUAUUCAUACGAUUCAGAGGAGAAAGUUAAAUCGUAUUACUGCUCUAAAGGUUGGUAACGAUGAAUAGCCCUUUGAUUAGGAUACUUUUCAAGUUGAGGCUUUUGGUUUCUUUCAGAAACUUCAUGGAGAAGCCCUGGAACGCAUGAAUAGGCCUCUAUUAGCAUUUUUCCUCGCCUUAACUCUUUGGACAUUGUUUUUUCAAUUAAGGCUAUCACAAAUGAAGAAAUUAAGUUGACACUAUUUGGCAUGGCGUCUUUGAAGGCCCUGGGAAAUGAUGCCUUCUAUGUUUUAUUCUUUCAAAAUCAAUGGGAUGUUGUUGGUAAUGAUGUUUGUGAGUGGGUCAAAAUGGUGUUUGUAGGUAAAGCCAUUGAUCUGGACUUGAAUAAUACUUUGAUAGUUCUGAUCUCUAAGUUAACGAAUCCUGAAAACUUUUCUCAAUUUCGACUGAUUAGUCUAUGCUCUAUUCUCUACAAAUUGGUCAUGAAAGUUAUUGCUAAUCUUUUCAAGGUAGCCUUUCCUAAUUUUAUUGCACAAGAGUAGGUAGGGUGUAACACCGUCUACUUGACCUGGAUCACCAGAUCCGGAUACCGGAUUUUACAACACUUAAACACUUCAUCAAAUUUUAUACAACAUAUGUAAACUAUUUCUAAACUUACAUCAUAAUACUUAUGUACUGUUCUUUGAUGUAAAAGACAAUAUCCAGUAAUUACAUUAACUUAUUACUCAGUGUACAACCUACAACAUAAGAUUUUAUUAAAAAUAAACUCUUUAAGGCAUGUUAUACUAUACGCCAUACUCUUAUGAUGUCCUUUGUAUGCAUAUUCGCCCAACUCGUUAUUAUCAUGGCGUACUCCUGGCUUGAUCCCCUCCUGGUGAACUCACUCUUAUAGCAAGACCUGAAACAUGAACAAACAAUUGUAGGUUGAUGUGAACUUAGUGAGUUUUUAUCACUGAAUAACUUGAAGCUUUUCUAGUUAAACUCCACAUCUUGAAGAAUUUGGAUCACACCUCUAUCUUUGGUAGGUACUUUCAUAAUAUAAAAUAUAUUCUUAUACGCCAACUUUCAUUGUUAAUGUAACGAUUCUCAAUUUUUUUCUUGGCUAACCACAAAUCUUAUCAGAUGAUAUAUAUAUGUCACAUCUCAACCAGGCUGAUUUGAAUAGAAGGCGUGCAAAAAUGAAGUUUUUUGUUCUAACGCACUCUAAUAGUUAGUUCACCAACUUUUAACAUCUGGUGAAUUAAUGUUUUGGCAAGUAGAGUAUUCGCCCAUAUAAAUACUUCAAAUUUAGUUCUCAUAGUAUUAUUUAAUUAAAGAAAGAAUUUGACAAACUGAGGGUAAGCCUUCUACAGGUUACCACAAAAAGUAUAGUACACAUGGUUUCCCUGAGCACUGUGCUAACUAGGUUGGUAAUGUGAUAUGGUUAGGAGUUAAUUGAAUUGUUAGGUCACAUAAAAAUUCUAUAGGACUCUCAUUUAUGUUUCAGUUGGAUCUUGUAGGUAAUUUAUUACGACAAAUUCUGGAUAUAAUUAACACUAGUCAAGUUUCACUAAACUGGACUUGAUAUAUAUAUGGUGAGAAGGGUUUGUCUAGAAGAUUUUUCUUCUUUUAACACUAAUCUCUGGUUCUUCUUCUUAAACUUAUAUGUUUCUUCUCCUUUAUUAAGUUGGAAGCAAUGGUUUUUGAAUUAAUGAUUAGAUGUUCCACCUCCUAGUAAAUCUGAUAGCUCUACAUAUUAAGUUUUUGAAAGAAUAAGAAUAUUAAAAAGCAUAUGAACAGUGAAUUAUGAAUAAGAAACCCUACAUGAGGGUCAUAUAUAAUUAAGAUGUUAACCAUUUAUUUUUCAAUAGGUUUUAAUAGUAGUUUUAUGUUCUUUAAGCAGUUGUUGUUGUUGUUCAUAGGGAUGUUCAAGUUUAGAACUGCAAGCUAUAGUCUAUGUGAGUAUCAGGUGAGUCUCUAUCUUAUCUUAUGUAUGUGAAUUGUUCAAUUAGUAACAUGUAAGUUUAUCUCAUCUUAGAUGAUUGGUAAGCAUGCUUAUGAGAUCUUAUAUGAAAAAGUAAGAACCAUUUAACUAUGCAAAUAAAUCUAGGCAAGUAACUACUGAGUAAAACAUUCAUUUUUUAUGCCUCAGGUGGGGCAGCACACGAUGUGGAGAUGCGUAAGUCCAUGUGGUAGAGGCACAUGGCAUCUUAUAACAAUGAAUACAUUCAUUGUUUUGACUCUAGUAAGAUGAAGAUUAGACUGGUAGAUCAUGACAUGAAGAUAUGUAUAAGUCUAUGAAGGAGAAACCUAUGACGUUUUCUGUGAAAGUCCACUGGGACAAUAAACAUCUGAUUCUAUUUUUUUCUGAGUGGCGUGAUAUGCUAAGCCUUAGUGGUGUAUCUUGUGUUGUUUUUGUGGCAAAUUAUGAAACACCUAUGUGGCAUAUCUGGGAAUACCUUUGUGGCAGAAUUUGAUUAUCUACCUUUGUCGUAAGUACUGAGGUUUCUUCGAUAAAUGAAUCAAGGGUAAAUAUCUGAUGGAAAUGAUUAGUCUUGUGAUGAAACUGAAUUUUUCUAAAAGGGAUGACUACUGAAUGAAAGUAUGUUUCUGUAUUUCUAAAAAAAGGAAUCCACCAUAGUAGUCUGUCAGUAUAGGUUAUAGGCAUGUUCAUGUUGUGAAAGGUAUAGGUUCUCAUUAGCUUGAAUUUGUUUACGCUAUAUAAGACUAAAAUCUAAUUCAUCUAGUAUAUGUCAUAUUUGAGUAGUAUCAUGUCUCUUUCUAAGGAUAUUUGGAAUCUAGGUCAUUGCCAAUCUGGGCAUUCUUACGUUAUGUAACAUAGACAUUUGGAAUUCAUUUCUAUGAUCUAAAACGUUUCCUUAUCAGUAUGAGCAUGUGUUAGGUUUGAGUCAGAAUCUGAUCUAGUUUAUAGUAUAGUAAUUAUCAAACUUAGUAUAAGAAUCUGCCAAAUGUAAGAUCUGUAAGUGUUAUCUGCCAAGAGAGAGAGUAUCUGUGAACAACCAUUCUAAUAUAAAGGAUAUAUGUUGUCGAAGGGUAAAAUCGUAGAAAGUGGGCUUUGUAUAGAUAUCUUUUUGAGAAGUAUCUGCAUUGUUUUAGGAGAAGAGAAGAUGUAGUUAUCGUCUGGUAAGAUCUGGAAUUAACUAAGUAGUAAAAUGAGAGUUGAUACGAUAAGUAUGGUUGAUGGUAUAUAUGUGUAUAUAAAUCAAACAUUAUGAGGGUGUUCACCAAACACAGAUGAUAAUCUAAAUAUUCAUGAUGAAGAUUUGGUCUAAAAAAGGCUUCAAGGUAUUUUGUAUUCAGGCUUACUAUGUUCAUGUAAACUUAUAGGCAUUUUGUUCAUGUUUCAGGUAAAUCACUAGAUAAGUGUUUGAGAUGUACCUCGCUCGUUGCAUUUACUCGCCCAGCUUCCCAGUUUCCAUCACCACUUUUCCCUAAAAGUUUGAUGGACAACCCACCUCUCUCAUAGGUGGUAGCCUCAUUGUUGACUCAAUAGGCUUCAUAUCGGUUUGUCGCACCUCUAGCCUUUCCAAUGAGGUCUCUGUAACACUCCAAUCUACCGAUUCAAUGUUCUUCCUACAAUAAACAUCUUCGACUAGCUGGAUUGACGAUAGUACCUUGAUUCCUCCCCUCUUGUCUUAACUCAUCGACACAACAAAUUGUUGUGGUCGAGCAUUCAAGAUAAAACUGCAAUUGGCAAAAGGAAUCAACAAAUCAUUAAUUUUUUAAAGAAAUUCAAGCUAAGCAUGAAGUUGUAAUCAUCUAAGUGAAUUACCUCAAAGUUUUCUUUUUCUUUCCAUUGACCGAUUUACAGCUCAACUCCUUAUGCUACUCCCACAAUUAGGACCUCUUUGGAAUUAACAGUCUUGAUCUUUUUGGUUGAUUUGCUAAUUGAGAAACCAAGUUUACCCAUAAUUUUUUGGAUAUGAAUAAGUUAGAUGCCCCCGCAUCAACAAGACCAUUCUUCCUUUGACCUGCGAUGUUAAUGUCAACAUACAUCAACCUUUUCUACUUUUGAUCCCUUUACGUCUUCACAGAAUUGAGUAUCAUUAACCCAAGCUUUAAAGCCUCACUCUCAACAGGCUUCGCUUUAUUCUUUUUAUUGAUCACGAACAUCUUGGAUUGCUUUGGACAUUUUGCAUCCUAUGUGGACCAUAGUACAAGAAGCAUUUCACUGGCUUCUUUUCAUUCUCUUUGAACCUCUUGCCUUUGUUAGAACACACAAGUAAACUAAGUCUCACCAAUGCUCUAUUUGGUUCAUCGUCCCCUUUGACGGCAAAAAGCACAAAUUUCUUUAGAUAGUUUGUCACCAUAUGUAGACUAUCACAAAAGAAGCAUUUCACUAGCCCCUUCGGUUUGUAGUUGGGCUACCACUUCCCAUUAAGUGGCUUCCCAUUGCCACCAUUCUUACCAUUUCCAUUUUUAACUUGUCCCUCUUCCUCAUGGUCUCCUCUACCAUUUCCCAUCUUUUUAGGCUUGAAAGACUCAAACUUGUUUUUCUUCAAACCAAGCUCGACAAAGAAUUUUGCCUCAACUAUGGCUACAAUAAGCUCAGUGAUACCUUGUCGAUGAUCCUCUUACUUCGCCCAAUGCUUCAACCUAUAUUUAAACUAGUAGAAUGUUUUUUUUCUCACUUAGGUCAAAGAUUUGAAGCAUCAAUUCACUAAAGUCUCUAACAUACUUUCGAACAUUGCCUUGUUGUGUAAGUUGGCGCAACUUAGCCCGAACCUCCUUUUCAACAUACUACGGGUAAAACUAUUUCUUCAGUUCUUUCUGGAACUCCUCCCAAGUACCAAUUGCAGUACCACAUUAUCUCUCGUCUGUAGACCUAUGGCGCCACUACAAAAUAAGGACAUCAGUAAAAUAAACUGCAACGGUGUUUACCUUAGUGCCAUCAUCCUCAAUGCCCAUUACACAGAAGUGUUGUUCAAUUCCCUAGAGAAAAUUGUUCAUAUCUCUUCCGAACAUCAUCCCCUUAAACUCUUUCUGCUUGGGGACAUACAUUUUGAGCUGCUUAGGAACUGAAGCCAACAUCCAAUUUCCCAUAACAACUCUACACACAGUGAGCUCUCUCUCAAGCUUCUGAAUUUUUUACAUCGUGGCCUAAGUUUCCUCCUUCAGGCCACAAUCGAAGCUUCAAGAACAUCAUUACUCUUGUCAGCUUCUCGAUCUGAUCACCCAUGGCAACAUUGAGGGCCUUGUUAAUCACAUCCGUAUUGGCACUAAGAUUCUCUGCCACAAAGUCCUUAAGCUGAACUCUGAUUGAGUCUAACUCAUCGAUGUGUCCCUAAAUUACCUUAAGUGUUUCCUUCACACUACCCAUAGACUUCUUAAGAUUGUCACCGGACCUUCCAAAGCCGACAGCAUAUCCCUUGAUCUGUUUUUUUCUUGGACCUCUCACGAGUCUCCAUCAGGACAUUCUACUCGUCCCUUCAUUUCAUCAUCCUAAUCGAUGCCUCCAAACACUAGUUCUAAUACCAACUGUCAUAGGGCUAGAACUUUAGUUUGGCAAACCGCGUGGGUUCAAAUCCUACCUAAUUUUAGCCUACUCUCGAAAAAUGAAAAUUCUAAUAGAAAUUCUGUAAGGAACCGAAGCAAAGCGAAAGCAAACUUGAAAGACAAAAGAAGCUACAAACGAACAAAAAGCCACAGAAAAAUAACGUACACCAAGUGUUUGAGUAAAUGUUCUCAAAAGUAUUCUAUUACUUUGAAGGUUUACAACUGAGUGAUUACAAAUGAGGGGGAAUAUCUCUGUUUAUAGUUGAGCUCUCCCAAAUUCAACAUUACAAAUUAAGUUACAUAGAUGGUCAAGAUUUGUGCCUAUCUACAAGAUGAGAGUCCCAAAGGAUUUAAGCUCUAUACGUCUUUAUCCCUUAUGAUUUGUAUUAAUUAUCUUGGUAACUCUAGUUUUACUAAUGCUUUUCACUGGACCAUCAAAACUUUAAGUAAAUAGGCUUCUCCAUAUGUUUCACUGUGUGCAAUAGUUACGGGUUUGAUCCACGACCCAUAAGACUUACACCUUUUAAAUUUUAGAAAAAAAAUGUACUAACCUCUAAAAUUUAUUUAUUAAAUGAGUUUGAAAUAAAAGAAUAACAUUACCUUUAUCAAUUAACUAUUAUUCUAUUUUAUUAUUAUCCUCAAUUUUUAAUUAAUAUAAUAAAAUUAAUUAGUUAUAAAAAUAUUUUGAUUAUUAUUAAAUUAAAUUGUAAAUAUAAUAUUAUUCUAAUAUGAUCACAUGUUAAAUAUAAUAUAUUAUUCUAUUAAUAUAUGUAACAAAAUUUUUAAAAUUACAAGCAUAAUCACAAUUAAAAAUAUUAAAAAUACAUCGGAAUAACUAUAACUUAAAUAUAUCAUCUUAAAACGUAAUCUAAAAUAUUUUAAAAGAAUUUAUUACUAUUUAAUAAAUUUAUUACCAGAAUAAACCAUUUGAAAGCAAUGUCUCUAAACAUAAAACUUCUUUAAACAUAAAUAAUCACCAUUGCACUGAAAAUCUGACAAAGCUGAAAAUACAGUAUGGUAUCUAAUGAAAUUGAGAAUUUCCAGUAUUUCAUCUUAUGCGUUGAAAAUAUAGUUAAUAUAUUAAUACACUUUAUUUAAUUUAAUACUCAGUUCAAACACUCCAAUAAAUGUUUGGUACAUAUAUUUUAGUAAAAAAAUAUGUAGUUAACUGCGAUAAAAAAUAAAAUUUAAGUAAAUUGAAUAUUAAAAUUAAAUUUGAAUAUUUAAAUGAGACAAAGAAAUAUAUUUGCCCAAAAAAAAAAAUCAUACCAAUAUCUCAUUCCUCCCGUGCCAGCGGCCCCUUUAACAGAUUAGCCUCAACAUCACGUUCCUCAAGUAGAAUGAGUGCAUCAAUAACGAAUUUUUUAGCAGAAUUAACUCUAAAACCGAUAACUUGCCUAGUUCCCACAUCAAAGAAACCUCCAUACUCAAAGUUCUUCGGCCAAACGAGUUGAGAUCCAUCAUUGCUUCAUUUCUUUUGAAUUUCCAUCACUAUGUUUUAGUACAUGCCAAGAGCCCAUGUCUUCAACAAGCGUCACUUUCUAUAUUUGGCCUGGAUAAUUUUAUUUCUAUUGGGAAAAGAGAAUCUCAUGUUACAUUGUACCAUGCAAUAUUGUCUUCAAGCUCAAAGACUUUUGGGUCUGCAAACUAAGCUAAUUAGGCCCAACGUCUAAAUUGCACCUCAAAUCCCCAACCAUAAUCUGAACAUGGCCUACUUCAUCAAAUUGGCUCUACAAACAAAGUUCAUUAGGCCCAACAUCUGGAUUGCACCUCAAAUCCCUGAACCAUAAUCUGAACAUGGCCAACUUCACCAAUAUUUAUAUUAGGCUCAUAUCAGCAUCAUGCUCAUUCAAACCCAUCACAGUUUCUGCCCAUUCCAAAUUUCCAUCCCUCCUAUUGUUACCUACCUCAUCAUCCCUCAUAGAAUCUAGCCGAACUUAUUUUGAGACCUAUAGCAGUAUAGUUCAUUCCAUUAAAAAAUAUAUAGAGCCUUUUUUUGAAAAAAAUUUCACUUAAUGAAAAAACCUUUAUUUUCUUAAAUUGUGCACUUGUUAAGUUUUCCUUUUUAAGAUUAUUCGUGAAAAUGAUUUCAUUUUUCCCUUUAAUUCGUGCUGUAUCAUCAACUCAUAAUUAAAAAGUUUAAACACCACCCAAUUUGAGAAGAAGAAAGAGCUUGAGGUUGUUGCAACCAAUGUUGUUCAAUUAAUUAUUAGAAAUUAUAUAAUUUAGAGGUGAUUUUUGGUUUUCUUUUUUAAUAUUGUGAUUCUAAAACUCAAACCGAAAAUUUAUAAUUAAAUUGCUAUGAUAAGCUCAAUCAUAGAGAAAGUGGGCAUCUUUUAUACGGGGAAUUUCUCUAGGAUUAGAAUCUCCUGAGUGUAAUGAGACAAAUAUACGGUAAGUAUAAGAGUUACAGAAUUGUCGAGUAGUUUGGUUGUUGUUUAUAAAAUCCUACACUAUUAUUAUAUGUAAAAUGAGACAAAUAUAUGGUAAGUAUAAGAGUUUAAUAAUUGUCAAGUUGUUUAUCAAGUCCUACACUCUUGAUACGAGUAAAAUGAGACAAAUAUACGGUAAGUAUAAGAGUUCAAUAAUUGUCAAGUUUUUUUUUCAAAUAAUAAUUGUAAGAAUUUUCAAGGUUUAAUUAUUUUAAAAUGUGUUAAAUAAUGAUAUUACAGUUUUUAAUUAAUACAAAAAUUUCACAGAAAAUAUUGAAAAAGAAUAAGUGGAUAGUUACGCAUUCCUUAAUGUUGAAAUCCUUAAAAAAUCAUAUUUGAAAUAAAUGAUCUCUAUUUUAAGUAAAAAAAAAACUUAUAUUCAGUUUUUACCCAAAACCAUCCUAAUAAUAUAAAAUAUUAUAUUUUUAGAUUAAAAUUAAAAAAAAAUCAACUUUUACUUUUAACAAGAAAUGACGUUUAAUAUGGGACAAUGGACAUCGGAGUUGCACCUGGUAGUAUUUCAAUCCCAAACUCAACCUCCCUAUCUUGAGGUAAUCCCGAUAACUCCUCAGGAAAGCCAUCAAGGAAGUCCCUAACAAUAUGAAUUCCUUCCAUAGCUGAAUCCACCUUACUCAUAUCAUGCACAUAUGCCAAAUAUGCAUCACACCUCUUUCGAAUUAGCUUUUCAACUGCCAGAGCGAAAAUCACAUUAGAUAAAUAAUCUCGAAGCUUACCAACCAUCACAGCCUCCACAUCAUCCCCAACUUUGAAGGUCACUCUCUUAGACUCACAGUCCAGUCUAACUCGAUGCUCCACUGUUAUUAUAUGUAAAAUGAAAAUGGAUUGAUUUUUUCCCUUUAAUUCGUAAUGUAUUAUCAACUCAUAAUUAAAAAGUCUAAACACCACCCAGAUUGAGAAGAAGAAAGAGCUUAAGGUUGUUGCAUUUAAUUAUUAGUUUCCAAUGUUGUUCAAUUAAUUAUUAGAAAUUAUAUAAUUUAGAGGUGAUUUUUGGUUUCUUUUUUAAUAUUGUGAUUCUAAAAUUCAAACCGAAAAUUUAUAAUUAAAUUGCUAUGAUAAGCUCAAUCAUAGAGAAAGUGGGCAUCUUUUAUACGGGGAAUUUCUCUAGGAUUAGAAUCUCCUGAGUGUAAUGAGACAAAUAUACGGUAAGUAUAAGAGUUACAGAAUUGUCGAGUAGUUUGGUUGUUGUUUAUAAAAUCUUACACUAUUAUUAUAUGUAAAAUGAGACAAAUAUAUGGUAAGUAUAAGAGUUUAAUAAUUGUCAAGUUGUUUAUCAAGUCCUACACUCUUGAUACGAGUAAAAUGAGACAGAUAUACGGUAAGUAUAAGAGUUCAAUAAUUAUCAAGUUUUUUUUUUCAAAUAAUAAUUGUAAGAAUUUUCAAGGUUUAAUUAUUUUAAAAUGUGUUAAAUAAUGAUAUUAUAGUUUUUAAUUAAUGAAAAAAAAUUCACAGAAAAUAUUGAAAAAGAAUAAGUGGAUAGUUACGCAUUCCUUAAUGUUGAAAUCCUUAAAAAAUCAUAUUUGAAAUAAAUGAUCUCUAUUUUAAGUAAAAAAAAAAACUUAUAUUUAGUUUUUACCCAAAACCAUCCUAAUAAUAUAAAAUAUUAUAUUUUUAGAUUAAAAUUAAAAAAAUCAACAUUUACUUUUAACAAGAAAUGACAUUUAAUAUGAGACAAUGGACAUCAGAGUUGCACCUGGUAGUAUUUCAAUCCCAAACUCAACUUCCCUAUCUCGAGGUAAUCCCGAUAACUCCUCAAGAAAGCCAUCAAGGAAGUCCGGAACAAUAUGAAUUCCUUCCAUAGCUGAAUCCACCUUACUCAUAUCAUGCACAUAUGCCAAAUAUGCAUCACACCUCUUUCGAAUUAGCUUUUCGACUGCCAAAGCGAAAAUCACAUUAGAUAAAUAAUCUCGACGCUUACCAACCAUCACGGCCUCCACAUCAUCCCCAACUUUGAAGGUCACUCUCUUAGACUCACAGUCCAGUCUAACCCGAUGCUCCACUGUUAUUAUAUGUAAAAUGAAAAUGGAUUGAUUUUUUCCGUUUAAUUCAUAAUGUAUCAUCAACUCAUAAUUAAAAAGUCUAAACACCACCCAGAUUGAGAAGAAGAAAGAGCUUAAGGUUGUUGCAUUUAAUUAUUAGUUUCCAAAGUUGUUCAAUUAAUUAUUGGAAAUUAUAUAAUUUAGAGGUGAUUUUUGGUUUUCUUUUUUAAUAUUGUGAUUCUAAAACUCAAACCGAAUAUUUAUAAUCAAAUUGUUGUGAUAAGCUCAAUCAUAGAGAAAGUGGGCAUCUUUUAUACAGGGAAUUUCUGUAGGAUUAGAAUCUCUUGAGUGUAAUGAGACAAAUAUACGGUAAGUAUAAGAGUUACAGAAUUGUCGAGUAGUUUGGUUGUUGUUUAUAAAAUCCUACACUGUUAUUAUAUGUAAAAUGAGACAAAUAUAUGGUAAGUAUAAGAGUUUAAUAAUUGUCAAGUUGUUUAUCAAGUCCUACACUCUUGAUACGAGUAAAAUGAGACAAAUAUACGGUAAGUAUAAGAGUUUAAUAGUUGUCAAGUUUUUUUAUCAAAAAAUAAUUGUAAGAACUUUCGAGGUUUAAUUUUUUAAAAUGUGUUAAAUAAUGAUAUUACAGUUUUUAAUUAAUACAAAAAUUUCAUAGAAAAUAUUGAAAAAGAAUAAGGGGAGAGUUAUGGAUCCCUUAAUGUUGAAAUCCUUAAAAAUCAUAUUUGAAAUAAAUGAUCUCUAUUUUAAGUAAAAGAACAAAAAACUUAUAUGUAGUUUUUACCCAAAACCAUCCUAAUAAUAUAAAUAUUAUAUUUUUAGAUUAAAAUUAAAACAUCAACAUUUAGUUUUAGCAAGAAAUGGCAUUUAAUAUGGGGCAAUGGACACCGGAGUUGCAGCUGGUAGUAUUUCAAUCCCAAACUCAACCUCCCUAUUUGGAGGUAAUCCCGAUAACUCCUCAAGAAAGACAUCAAGGAAGUCCCUAACAAUAUGAAUUCCUUCCAUAGCCGAAUCGACCUUACUUAUAUCAUGUACAUAUGCCAAAUAUGCAUCACACCCCUUUCGAGUUAGCUUUUAGCUGCUAGAGCGAAAAUCGCAUUAGAUAAAUAAUCUCGACGCUUACCAACGAUCACAGCCUCCACAUGAUCCCUAACUUUGAAGGUCACUCUCUUAGACUCACAGACCAGUCUAACCCGAUGCUUCACUAACCAAUCCAUACCCAAGGUUAGGUCGAACCCCUUGAAUGGCAACUCUAUCAAAUCAGCUGGAAAUACUUACCCCUAAACCUCAAGCGAACACAUCCUAUAAACUUUACUAAAUCGAAUAGAUUGAACCAAAGGACUAAUCAUUGAAAGUUCAGAACUAGUGUCCACAGCCAGAAUCCCCAAAUUACUCAUUAUACUACUAGAUACAUAAAAGUGCGUAGAUCCACAAUCAAUAAGUGCAAAACAUGAUAAAGAAUGUAUAGCAAACAUAUCAACAAUCACAUCAAUCGUAUCUUUGUCAUCACGGCGCCACGUCACGUAAACCGAAGUUGACUGCCUGGCCUCAGCCUGUCCUGCAACUCUGUCUGGUGUUGUCUAACCACAUCCACCGCCAUUAACCUUCUAAUCUAACCAUGGCCCCUAACAGAUUGCUAACCUACCAUCUGGGACGAAAUCUGACCCUGAACUGGAGCCCGCCCUAGCUCAAUAAUAAGGGGGCACUCACCAAUGUUAUGCCCCACAGUCCCAUACCUAACGCAAGCCCUAGUCCUCCUCCAACAGUCACCCGGAUGGCGUCUAUUACAAUAACCAGAAAUUAUAACCUGCUCAGCUCUAGCAACCAGUACAACUCUGGCAGCUGACUCUGUCUGCAAAUUUUUAUCAUACCUAGCCCGUUUCAUGGGCCUUUGAGAAGAACUAGAAGGACCCGAAUCCCUCUUGUUCUUGUUCUGACUUUUCUCUUGCUCUCUCUUUUCACGCUCAGUGUGCUUAACCUAUUCAACUAUCUUUGUCUUGUCCACCAAGGCUAUAAAAACCCGUUCCCUCUUAGGAGCUAUCAAAACCUUGAGAUCAUACCUCAAGCCCUCCUCGAAACGUAUGUUCUUUUCUUAAUCAUUAGCAACCAACCUUCGAGCAUAACCAUUAAAACGUAAAAACUCGGCCUCAUACUUGGCUACCGAUUUAUCCCCCUGAUUUAACCUCAUAAAAUCGCAUUUAUGGGUAUCAACAUAGCUUGCCCCCACAUAUUUACUCUGUAAGGCAUUUCAAAAAUAAUCCCACUUCAGCUAUUCAGGCUGACUACCUCCUGCACAAUCAAACACCACUGGUAUGCCUUAUCACAAAGCAAGGUUACCACACCCUUCAAUAUCUACUCAGGGGUGCAAUCUAAAUCAUUCAUUAUCCUUUCUGUGGCUUCAACCAUACCACACCACAAUUUUGCAACCUGCUUCCCAAACACGCAAAAAAGCACAAUUUUUAGGCUUUCUAAGCAUUCUAAAGUAAAUAUAAGAAGGGAGAUGGGAGCCAUUAAAGAAAAUUGAAGAAAAUAAUUGAGGAACACCAUUAGGAGCCAACUCAGAAGUGAAUCUCCAUCAAGAUCGAAGAUCUCCUUUUCAUUUCUUUCAAAGUUUUUAUGAGUUUCUUUAUGUUUUGUGGUUAUUCUGAGUUGGAGAUGUUUUCAUUCAGGAUUAUGAACUAAUUCCCUAGAUAUUUAGAGAGGAUGAAACUGAUGAUGAAUUUUAUUAUUUAAUUUCUAUUUUACGUGGUAAAUACCUGAUUCUUGUUCUCAAUUAUCUGUGCUUAUUUCUUAUUUUAAUAUUUUUGGGAUAUUAAUUAAUGUUUAAUGUGUUUAAUUCAGUGGAGGAAAAGUCUUAAUUUAAGAGUAGUUCUAGCACAAUUGAUUGGAGUUGUAUGCAAUCCUUGAAGUAAGACGACAUAAAUUUACCGGAUUAAAGUCAAAUAUAAUAAGGGAAUCCAUAGAUCGAAUUAAUAAGAUGAUAGGGGCUUUAUUUAAAAAGAGAUUUCAAUUAAUCAACCUAAAGUCAGUUGCUAUUACUCUCAAAAGAGAUAUUAGCAUAAUUUAGGGAUUUCUACGGAUCAAGUCACGAAGUGAAUAAAUUUUUGAAUUAAAAUUAAUAAUAAUAGAUGAAGUCUAGGUGGAUUCUUUCCUUGGUGUUGUCUUUCUCAUUGGUUAUUAUCCUGUUGCUUCAUUGAUUUAUUAUUCUGUUGUUUUUAGUCAUUUUGGAUACGAUAUCUCUACUCACCGUAGCUAUACUAUAAUUUGAUAAAUGCGCUUGCUUUUGUCAUAAAGUUUAGUUAGUACGGAAAACACACAUCAAUGUUUUGGCACCGUUGCUAGGCAUUAAAAUAUUAGGAACACUUGAAUUUUUUAAAUUUAGCCAAUUUUAUUUUAUUUAUUUUAUUUUUAUAUUUUAUUUUAGUUUAAUUUUUACGUUCUAAUUUUUCUUGUUUGCUUUUGGCAAGUUCUUUUGGUUUAUGACUAGAAGAAACCCGUCAGAACCAUUGUUAUUUGACAGUGACAUUGAAAGUACUGCUUGCAGAAAUAGUAGAGAAGCAAGGUAGAAUCAACAGAAUUUAGUAGACGAACAAGAGGACAUCCUUAUUACUGAGGAGAUAGGAGAUAAUCAGAAUAUUCAACUACCUUCUAUAGUUACUGCAGCUCUUGUUCCUCGUACUAUGUACGAUUAUGCUAAGCCCAUUUUGACUGGAGCUGAAUCGAGUUGUGCAACCCACCAUUGCUGUAAAUAACUUUGAACUAAGGCUGAACACAAUUCUAACUGAAUUAGGGAAAAAUGGUUAAUUCAAAUGAAUUUGAGGGGUUUCCUAAAAUUGAUUAAAAGGAAGUUGGUAAUCAUUUAGAAUUAAAAUUGGGAUAGUUUAGUUUUAAGUGGUAAAAUGACUAAAAUACCCUUAGGGUUAAAUCCUUAAAAAUAGUUUUAAAAUGGUUCACAAAUGAUAAGAUAUAAAAGUAAAAUAUUUUAAUCCUAUUCUUAAUGCAUUUUUGGAUGAAUAUUUAUGUAAAUUAGUGAAUUUGAUGCUCCUAAUCCUUUAAAUUCAUGUUUCUAUACUUAGGAGAGCAUUUGGGAGCGAAAGGAGCUUAAAAUGAGCCAAAAUCGGACAAAUAUAGUUGUUUUCAAGAGCCACACGGCCUAGGCAUUUCCACACGGGCUAGACACACACUCAUGUGCAAGUUCAUGUCGAUUUCCCACCUUGCUUCCCAAAUACGCGGAAAAACACAAUUUUUAGGCUUUCUGACCAUUCUAAAGUCUAUAAAUAUCACUUAGAAGAAGACAUAAGGGAGCCAUAAGAGAUAAUCAUAGAAAACACUUGAAGAACACCAUCGGAUUCAACUUAGAAGCGGAUCUCCAUCAAGAUCGAAGACCUUCUUUUAAUUUAUUCUAAAGUUUUAUGAGUUUCUUUGUUUCUUGUGGUUUUUUUAACUUUGAGAUGUUUCUAUUUACGAUUAUGAACUGAUUCCCUAGAUACCUAGAAAAGAGGAAACCUAUGAUGAAUCUUAUUUUUUGAUUUAUGAUUUACAUUAUAAAUACUUGAUUCUUAUUCUCAAUUAUGUAUGCUAAUUUCUUGUUUUAAUAUUUCCAGGAUAUUAAUUCAUGUUUAAUGUGCUUAAUUUAGUGGAACAAAAGUCUCCGUUUAAGAGUAGAUCUAGCAUAAUUGAGUGAAACUGCAUGUAAUCUUAGAAAUAAAAUGAUAGAAAUCUAUUCGAUUAGAGCCAAAUCAAAUAGGAGAAUCCAUAGAUCGAAUUAAUGCGACAAUAAGGGUUUUAAUUAGGAAGAUAUUUCAAUUAAUCAACCUAGAGUCAAUUGUUCUUACUCUCGAAAGAGAUAUUAACAUAAUUUAGGGAUUUCUACAGAUCAAGACACCAAUUGAAUAAAUCGUUUAAUUUAGAUUCAUAAUAAUAGGUGAAGUCUAGGUGGAUUCUUUCUUGGGUAUUGUCACUCUCAUUGGUUAAUAUUUGAUUAUUUUCUUAAUUUAUUCUCUGUUGGGUUCUUAGUUAAAUUAGUUUAGUAAUUUUAGAUUAAAACUCAUCACUCUAAUUUGUUGGCUAAAUAAUAAGAAAACAGUAAUUACUAAUACUUUUAGUCCUCGUGGAUACGAUAUCUUUAUUCAUCGUGGCUAUACUAUUGUUUGAUAAGUGCGUUUGCCUUUGUCGUAUUUAUAGUUAGUUAAGUGAUCAUCAAGAAAUCAUUUCGAGAGUAAGGUUAGACAACUAUUAGUUAGAAUAGAGGUGUUAUAAGCUUGGGGUGUGUUUUGAGGUGGUUUUGUGCUGGAAAGUCACUUCGAUGGCUAAUGUGUCUCUUCAGGUUUGGAUCGUUCUGUUUCGGUCAGGUUUGGGGUGUCACAUACAUAAUUGACAUCAAUAUAUAUGUAGAGAUUAGAGUCACAACAAUCGAACAAAGGUAAAUAAUACAAUAAUUUAUUCAUAUCGGAGAAAGGUACAUGAAUGAGUGGUAAUGAAAAAAAGUAAAAAGAAGACCAAAAAAAAACCUAGAAUACGAUAAAGCAAAAGGUAGGUCGAUUGAUAGUUCUAUUUUUGCAUCAAAUAUGUUAUUUGAAUGAACCAUGAAAACCCUUCAUACAACUCAAUAAUGAAACAAACAACAAACUAAAACCUUCCACAUUCAUACACACAUAUACACUCAACAACUAGUGAUGGUUUUUUUUUUAGCCAUGUUGAACUAUGUUUGAAAUGUACAACAAAACAACCUAAGCUCUUUGUCUUAAAUAAGUGAACUUUCUUCUUCUUUAGUUUUUUUUUUUUUUAGUUUUAAUCAAGAAACUUGGGGCUAUGAUUUUCUAAAUACUGUGAAUAAAAUUUAAGAACAACUUAUUAUUCAUGAGACAAAUAUGCAUGAGAGAAAAUGUGUUCAAAACCAAUGAGUUCUUUAGAAGUUUUAGUCUCAAAUGAUAGAUUUAAUUCCGUUGAUGUUUUAGAGUUCACAAUGGUGCUAGGAAAACUACAAGAUUUGACAUUCACAAGGUUAUAUAUUUGUUACUUUGUCAAUAAAUUAUCACAAUUCAUACACAAUCCAUUUGGAUUACACUAGAGAAUAGACAAACGAUUAUUGUGUUACUUGCAACAAACAAAAAAAUCUUAGUCUUUGAAUAUUUGAUUGUUUUGACUGUAAUUUCUAAAUAUAUAAUGAUGGCGAUUGUGCUAAUCUCGAUGAUUGUGUAUCCACAUUAGACUAUAUUCUAUUUUAUAGUUUCACUCCAAUUAGUUGGACAUAAAAAGAAAAGUUACUAUUGUACAAUCGUCAACCGAAGCUGAGUAUCGUGCUCUUGUGGCUACUUUUGAAACUCUUCGAGUCAAACAUCUACUCAAAUAGCUUUAGAUACCUCUUGAAUCCACCUAAAAUAUUCUGUGAUAAUUUGAGUGACACUCUACCUUGUCAUCAUCAUUUGUUGCAUAGCAAGAUUAAGCAUUUCAAAAUUGAUGUUAACUUUUUUAGUUUCUACGUUGAUCGUAAGGAACUUGAUGUUCAUCAUAUGUAUGCCAUGGCCUAGGUUCCAAUAUACUCACCAAGUCUCCUAAAACAACCUUUCAUUGUAUCUAUUGACUAAGUCUUUUAAUUACGAGAUAAAUCUUAUUUUGAAUUAAUUUUUAAGCUUUGUUUUGAAUUAACCUUUUAUCUUUUAGAAUUUUCUUGUUUAGAUUCUUUAAAUUUCAUUAGUUAAGAUUUAUUAUCUUUUAUUGUAUAUAAAUAUUGAAGCUGAUCAAUAAAUACCACUUAGAAGAAGACAUAAGGGAGCCAUAAGAGAAUAUCAAAGAAAACACUUGAAGAAUACCAUCAGAAUUAACUCGGAAGUGGAUCUCCAUCAAGAUCAAAGACCUCCUUCUAAUUUCUUCUGAAGGUUUUAUGAGUUUCUUUGUUUCUUGUGGUUUUUUUGAUUUUGAGAUGUUUCUAUUUACGAUUGUGAAAUAAUUCCCUAGAUACCUAGGAAAGAUGAAACCUAUAAUAAAUCUUAUUUUUUGAUUUCUGAUUUACAUAAUAAAUACUUGAUUCUUUUUCUUAAUUAUGUAUGCUAAUUUUUUAUUUUAAUAUUUCUAAGAUAUUAAUUCAUGUUUAAUGUGCUUAAUUCAGUUGAACAAAAGUCCCUGUUUUUCAAAUCGGAGAAAGGUACAUGAAUGAGUGGUAAUGAAAAAAAGUAGAAAAAAGACCCAACAAAAACCUAAAAUAUGAUGAGGCAAAAGGUAGGUCCACUGAUAAAUCUAUUUUUGCAUCAAACAUGUGAUUUUGAAUGAUGGCGAUUGUUGUGACUCUAACCACUACAUAUAUAAUGGUGGUGAUUGUGCUGGUGAUGUCGAUGAUUGUGUAUCGACAUUAGACUAUAUUUUAUUUUAAAGUUUCACUCCAAUCAGUUGGACAUAAAAAAAAGUUACUGAUGCACAAUCUUCAGCCGAAGCUGAGUAUCGUGCUCUUGUGGCUACUUUUGAAACUCUCUGGGUCAAACAUCUACUCAAAUAGCUUUAGAUACUUUUUGGAUCCACCUAAAAUAUUCUGUGACAAUUUGAGUGACCCUCUACCUUGUCAUCAUCAUUUAUUGCAUAGCAAGAUUAAGCAUUUCGAAAUUGAUGUUCACUUUUUUUAGUUUUAUAUGUUGAUCGUAAGCAACUUUGAUGUUCAUCAUAUUUUCUUUUCAUAUGCUAAGUAUUUUAUAUUUUAGUUUUAAUUAGAUUUUAAACAUUUUCUUUUCAAAAUAAUUUAUUUUUUUGUUCUUCAACUUCUAUAUGAUUUGAUUCCAAGACUUUGUUUUAAAGUAUUUUUAUAAUUUUCUUUCCCUUCUUGAUUGUCAACGGUGAUAUCUCGCUAGUUGUUAAAGGAUUUAGCGAAACUGAGCACAUCCAGUUUAUCAAACAGAGCAAUUUCUAUCUCACUCUCAUUUUAAUUUAUUUAUGUGUUGUGCGUGAUUGAAUUGAUUCUAGGGAAUAUGGAAAUGGGAUUCAUGAGUAGCUAAGUCCUUUAGAGAGAUUAAAGGGCUUCCCAUAGGAAUUAGCUAGUAUAAAUUUAUGUGUGCUUAAACCCUAGGAUUGACGAUCGUAGGAAGUAUCUAGGUUAAACGAAGUCGAGACAUAAGUUUACCGAGUAAAUCGUGAGUUUAUCUCAAUCAGGAAAGUGAGGUCGAGAGAUAGGUGAGUACUAGUUAGUUAAUUAAUUAGUAGAGGUCGAGAGGUAAUACUGGUUAGUUAAUAACUAAUUCACUAAUAAAACCUACAUUUUGAAGUUAAUUGCAACCACUGAAACAAGUUAAUAUUCUUCUUGUUCUUCGAGAGUUAUUCAUUUUUCAAGUUUGUUUUAGUAAUUUAAUUUUACUUUAUGACCUUAAUUGUUAGUAUUAAUCAUUGUAAUAUAAUUUUGAGUGAUUACUGUUUAGACCUGCUAUUAUAGACGAUAUUUUUAGAUUUAAUCCAGUCUCUCUUAGGUCUUAAUCCUCGAAAUACUUACUGGUGUUUCGUUGUAAUAGAAAACUAUAUUACAAUUUGACCUAUUCACUUGGAUAUAUCGCACUGUAAUUAUAUAUAUUUUAUUUGUAAAAUUUUUACUUUAAAUGCUCGCACGUUUGGAGGUGGUCAAAACUCAUGCUUGAUCCCUUCAUCCUCAUAGUAAACAUCAAAUCUUUAUUUUUGAAUUCCCUUUCAUGAUCACUUCUUAUUCUUCUAGUCAUUCCAAUGACACGACCCUUUUCAUUCAUCAAGGUCUUGCACAACUUCUGACGGCUUCAAGGGUGUCUGAUUUGUCUCUAAGAAAUUUCACCCAUGUGAACCUUGAAUAUUCAUCCACACAGACUAGCACAUAUCUUUUGCCACUGAUUUUCUGUAUCUAUAUAGGACCAAUCAAAUCCAUAUAAAACAGCUCUAGUGGCUCGAAUGUUUGGUCUUGAGUGACUCUUUGAUGUUUCUCCCUAUGUUACUUACCCUUUAAGCAACAGCUAAAAACUUUAUGGACAUCACCAAUUAAUAUAGGAAUACCCCUGACAACCUCGGACUAGAUCAACAUUUGAAGUCCUUUUUAAUGCAUGCGACCAAGUGUCUCAUGCCACAAUCCUAACUCAGAGACAAUUGCCUUAUUUCACUUCACAUACUGUAGAACUUUAUAACAAUUAUCAAAGGUCCUCUACCUUUUCAUAAUUUUAUCUUUUAUCUCGAAAGAGACUUCACAACUAUCUUUUAUGAAAUUGAUUAACAUUCUUUGGUCACAAAACUUAUUUAUACUAGUUAAUCACAGUAAUUUUUUAUAAAAGAUAUUUUCUAAAAUUAUAUGAUAUAAAAUAUCAAAUUAAUUCCGAUGUACAACAGGUGGAAUUAUUUUAUUAAGUCGUACAUAUAAUUUGUUGAAAAAAUUGUACUUAAAAUUUGUUAAAAUAACAUUAGGAUAAAAAUUAUGAAGGUCCACAUGAAAAAUUAUGAAGAGAGAAUUUUUCCUCUAGCUUAGGGUACUAUGAUUAAUAUACAAUUGUUAUUAUUUCAUAAAAAAAGAUUAUAAAGGUAAUAAUUAUAUCGGUGUAAGUUGUCUCUUGUAUAUUUUACUUCACUUAAAUUCGUCGAAGCCUCCGAAUGAAAAAUUGGACAUAUGUAUAUGUGUAUAUAUAUAUUACCAGGGAAAUCUAAUAUGAGUAUCUUCCUUGGUCUUCAUUUUCAAAUUGCCAUGGAAAUCUACUACUCUAUGUUCAUCGCUCCUUUUACAACAAUGCUAAGCUUCUCCACCUUACUUGCUUUCAUCACUUUUGCUUUGAGUCACCUCUUUAAGCUUCAAUGGCAGCGCAAUGCCCAAAAGCCUAAACAGCCCUCUCUUCCGCCAGGCCCUAAACCUUGGCCUAUUGUGGGAAACCUCCCGGAAUUAAUCAUCAAUAAGAAGAAAACUUCGGUGUCUUAUUGGAUACACAGUUUCAUGAAAGAAAUGAACACCGAAAUUGCUUGUAUUCGUCUAGGAAAUGUUCAUGUGAUUCCCGUUACUUGUCCUGAAAUCAGUCUCCAAUUCAUGAGAAAACAGGAUGCUAUUUUUGCUUCAAGACCCCUUAACAUGGCCACUGAUGUCCUCUCAAAAGGGCACUUAACCACUAUUUUUUCACCCUUAGGAGAUCAGUGGAGAAAAAUGAAGAGAGUUAUGGUCAGCGAGAUGCUUUCACAUGAAAGACAUCGAUGGCUUCACGAGAAAAGAGUUGAAGAAGCUGAUAACCUCGUGCGUUGCGUACUUAACCAAUGCAAAAAUGGUGAUGAAGGCGGCCUAGUGGACUUAAGACUGGUUGCCCGACAAUAUUGUUGCAAUGUGAUAAAAAAGUUGAUCUUUAAUCGAGGGUACUUUGGAGAAGGGAAAGCAGAUGGUGGACCUGGUUUUGAGGAAGAAGAAUACGUCGACGCCAUUCUCGCUUUAGUCAUUCAUCUUUAUUCCUUUUGUAUAUCCGAUUACUGGCCAUUUUUGAGAGGCCUCGACCUGGAGGGGCAUGAGAAAAUCGUGGAGGACGCCACUAGGGUUCUAGAGAAAUAUAACAAUCCCAUUAUUGAAGACAGGAUUCAACAAUGGAGAGAUGGCAAGAAACAUGAACCUCAAGACUUGCUUGAUGUUUUGGUUUCUUUAACGG